RNAcentral lists this long non-coding RNA (60617 nucleotides) under Carica papaya (papaya). RNAcentral's name for it is "long non-coding RNA (CPAP_LNC012608)". The stretch from base 32655 to 33108 matches the Rfam family "Bacterial large subunit ribosomal RNA", at positions 25 to 555 of the family's 2925-position model. Lineage: Eukaryota; Viridiplantae; Streptophyta; Magnoliopsida; Brassicales; Caricaceae. The record is from RNAcentral.
GUUUUUUUUUACUUAAAAAUGUAAUAUAAAAUUUAAAUCACUUAUUUACUAAAAACUUUUUAAUUUAAAAGAGUGAUAUAAAACUUAAUAAAAUGAAUUUUAAAAAAGUUUGAAAUUUAAACACAAAAUCUAAUGUAAUUUUAUGGAAUCUUAACUAACAUAAUUAUAAAAAGGUUAUUAAAAAGGACUUCUUCCAUGUCCCUAAGUCUAACAUUUUUGCUUUGUUUGGAUGAAUUUUAUAGUGGGUAAUUAAUGUAUGAUAAUGACAUAAAAUAAUAAUAAUAAAAUUAUAUAAUUUUUGAGAAAAUUAUAUAUUAAUGUAUGAUAAUAAUAAUUAUUUUAUUUAAAUUGAUAGAAUAAUAUGGUUGUACAUUCAGUCAAUAAUUUAUUUCUAUUUUAUUAUAUAUAAUAUUAAAUAAAAAAAAUAAAAUAUAAAAAUAAUUUAAUAAAAAAAUUAUUUAAAAAUAUAAUUAAAUUUAUAUUUAAAUAAAUAAUUAUUAUAUUUAAUAAUAUAUAAUUAUUAUUUAUAUAUUAAAAAUAAAUACUUAAAAUUAUAUAUUAUUAUAUUAAAUUUAAAAAAUAAAAAAUAAAAAAAUGGUUCAAAUAAUUAUUUAGCAUGAACUAAUUUUUAAAAUAUAUUUAUUUAUUACUCAAACAAUUAAAAGAAAUGAAAUUUUUUUUGGCUAAAACAAAAAUUGAUAAAAUUUAACGAAAGUAUAUUUGAAAUAAAAAUAUGAGUCUAACAAAAAUUAUUAAAUUAAUAAUUUUAAAAAUUUAUUUUUGAAUAUUACGAAACACUCUCAAAUAAUCAUACUAUCAAAAAAUAAAUAAUAUUUUAUUAUCUUAACUAUAUAUCUUAUAUUAAUUAAUUAUCAUAAAAUACCACCGUACAAAUAAAUUAUUUAUAUUUAAUUAAUAUUAAUCGUAAUAUAAAUGCCAUUUAAUUAACUUAUAAGGACAACGUGCUUUAUGUGGGUGACAUGACUAUGAAAAGAGUAGGCUAAUGAUUAUUAAAGUUUAUUGCACCUUAUAAAGUUUAGCUUUUUUGGUUUAUAAUUGUAUUAUAACUAAAUAGUACAUAUAUAUAUAUAUAUAUAUACACACACCUGAUUUUUAUAAAAGAGUAAUAUUUAAUCAUCAUACCCAGAUUUAUAAAUCAUAUUUUUUUAGGGUUACCCUAAUGUAAUAUUACUUGUAAAACAUGAACCUGAAUACAAACACAACUCAAACUCAUAUACGGUUUAUUUUAUGAAAAUUAUUUACUAUUCUAUUGAAUCCAUUAGCUACAAGCUGAAAAUAAUAUAAAAUUUAAUUUCAAUUAAUGUGGGUGUAAAUAAUUUCAUAUUAUACAUGAAAUUUCAUAUUAUUGGGAAUAUUCAACAUUAAAUCCGCCAAUUUUGCUGCUGAGGGAGCAACUCCAUUUUUUUAACCUUGAAUCGAUCAAAAUAUAUAUGCGGAAUUUCUUACUUUUCGUGAGAGAUUCGAUCUUGUAACCUAACCGGUGGUACGUGACUGACCGAUGUUAUACACCAUUGUUUAACUACUGUAAUUCUUUUCCUGGUACCAGGUCACAUGUAUGUAUAGGAAGGACCAACUGGGUAUUGGCAAUCCGAAGCAAGUUUUCAAAGAAAUAUGCAGUUAAGCAUAAACAGUAAACUGGGAAGAUCAUUAGAGGAAAAGAGAGAAAGAUUCAAGAUUCAUAAUGUGAUUAUUAAAGAAAUGAGGGAUUUACAUGAAAAAUUUUUGAUGGUUCCUCUGUGAUUAUCAAGUUUCAAGUUUUAUUUAAAAUAAAAUUUACAUAUAUUAUAAUACAUGUACUUUAAAGAGAAAGGAAAAAACUUUUACUCACUUUUGCUCCUGAUCAGAAAAACCAAAAAACUUAAAAGCUGAAAAGAAACCAUUGAGAUUAUUCGUAUUAAUUUCACACACAUAUAUGUAUAUAUAUAUAUAUAUAUAUAUGAUAUAUACUUAUGUGUAAAUUAUAUGUAUGGGUCAAAAUAUUCUAGUUACAAAUCAAGACACCCAAACCUUUAAAAAAGACAUCAACUUUAACCGCACCAGAUUAAACAGAAUCAAACAGAUAAUGAUACAAUAUAACACAUAUACCAUUACAAAUAUGCAGGUAUAUACCAAUCAAGCUUCAACCAAUCAAUAGCCUUUUUUUUUCUUCUUCGAUUUCUUGGUUUGGAGUAGUGACAGAGAAGCUAAGCUGCUGCUGAUAAGGAUAAGUUAGUGAAAUCAAAAACUCAAAUACUAGUGGAGCAGUGAGUUGCUUGUCUCGAGCUGAGUGGACCAGAGAUCGGAGGAGCCGGUUCAAGAACCACCACGGCAACACAGUUUACAUUAAACAGGUACCGGCCGGAAACCCAAGUCCCAACUUUCCACCGGAGCUUACCGUUGACCUUGAGAUUAAGAGUAAGUUUCCCGGCGGUCUGAUCCCGACCCACCUCGUAGCCAAACGAGGGAGCCACCGGGAGGCCUGUGCCGACGAGUGACGCAGUUAACAAGUUGGUAUCUUCAUGGUCUUGGUAGAAAGGAGGAAGCGAGGUCUCGACGGUGAUCUGCUGACCUUUGUAAGCGGCGUAAGCUUGGAGCUGGUCGUAGUAAACACCCACUUUUUUGUUAGGGUUUUUGGAUAGGAGAGUGAGUUGGAUGGAGGAGUUGAGAAGGUGGGAAGGGGAGGAGAUGAGAUUGAGUUGGUAUAUGUCGAGUUGUUUGAGUGAGAACUGGGGUUUUGCAGGGUGGAGGAUGAGCCAGAGGAGGAGGAUGAGUAAGAGGAGGAGGGAAAGAGAUGAGGAGAAAGCAAAGAAGAGCUUCUUGUAACGCUUGUUAAUGGUGAUAAGUCCUUGUUUGUCAGCACAGUGUUUGGGAGACGGUGUGAAGAUUUGAGACAUUUGCAGAGAUUUGAUGAGGAAGAAGGAAGUUCAGAAUGGUAAGGAAGAUGGAGUGAGGUGAGGGAGUUAUAAAGGGGAUGGGAAGUGGAAGGAAAGCCGAGAAUAAUAAUUGUUUUUCUCUCUGCAACAUGCUUUUGACUGGCUGCUGGUGGGAGAUGAUCAUGGAGUAGCCUUUAAAUCAAGGGUGAAUAGAGUGAUUGAAAGUGAAUCUCAGUCGUUGGAUGAGUAGACCAUGCUCCACAUUUCAGCCAUCUGAUGAGCUUAUCAGGGUUGUCUCAAAGGUGGGUGUUGUUUGCAUUUGUGAAUGUGAAUUGCUAAUGAAGCGUAUGUAUAUGUAUAUGAAGUUAGUCUCAUGUACGUAAAAGUAGUCAAUAAUUCAUGGGUCCCAAAUUUACUCUUUCAGGUUUCUGAAUCAUAAUCAAUCUCUGCAUGUCCCCUGUGCUAAUCCUACAACUCAUGCAACACAUAUUAUUAUAACAAAUACAUACAUACAUACAUACAUACAUAUGUAUAGGUGUGUAUAUGUGUUGUGUAUUAUUGGUUUAGGUUUUUAAGUGAAAAAGAAAAGAAGGUGGAAGCACCCCAAUAUAUGAAUGAUAUUGGAGAUGCAGGGGAUACCUUUUUUAUCCAAAAUCUUAUGUUGAAGUCCCUUUUUAUAUAAUUCAAAGGCUUAUUCAAUUUGAGAAAAAUAAGACUUCAUGCAUAAGCUCAUAAUAUAUUUAAUUCGAAACUCACAAUAUCUUAAAAUUACUUAGUUUGUUGAUUAUUAGUAUUAAUUUAUAAUGGUGUUAGGAAAUUAUUGGUAUGCUUGAUUAAUUGGGUUGAUUAAGUGUGCCCGAACAAAAGAGAGUUGAAAAAAGGUAAGGCACAGAGAAUCUGUAAAUUGGCUUUUUUGGAAGCGCCGGGAAAGCAUUUCCCACUGAUUUUAUAUUGGCCUCAUGCGUCUUAUGUUUUUCUCCUUUUCUUCUAACUUAAGGAAAAACGUGUACAUGAUAACUCACGUGAGCCCUUCUAUCCCAGCCGUGUGAUCAGACUCUUGAUGGGUCUUGAUCAUUUGAUGUUUGCCAUGUGGACAGAUGAAUUGCUGGUAGUGUUAUAUACGAUGAGGAACCUUCUGGUUGAUAAAACUAUGGGGACCCGCUUGAUCAGGAUAUUAUAUAUUACAAUUACAAUAUUGGUGGCAUAAUUGACGUUUGAAAAACAGGGGAAAGGAGUUUAGGUUCUGCCUUUUGAAUUGAAUUUAAAUUUUUUAUUUGGGUUAUUGAGGCCUUCAAUUUCAAUCCCAGGGAAGGAAAGCCACUGGGAUGACCCCAUGAGCUUAAUGAUUUCUCAUCUGAUCAGCUUUAAAGUUUACUUUUGAUUUGAACAUGAGAGAAAAGAUUAUCUGCUUUUUAAUUUCAUUGAUUGCUUGUUUUUUUAAUCAAUUGCUAAUUGAAUAAUGGAGUUGAUGACAGUGGUUCUGAUUUCUUGGAAGAUGGAGUUACAGCAUCUGUAGAUAAAAAGGGUUUUUCAUCAGACUCUGAUUUCUUCACUGCAAGAUUAUGAUUUAUAAUAGGUGGCAGCGUUCUGUCAAUCAUAUUUGUUUUCAAGUCUUUGGAAUUUUUCUACAUUCACUCGCUAUCAGAUGAUUCUGCUAAUGAACACCAAAACCACAUUGAAAAUCUAAACCAUGUUCUUAAACUUCCAAAUUACCUAUUAAACCCAAGAAGAAGCUUCAUAGAAGGUAAAAUUAAAAUAAUUUCGGAGCAAUCCGCCUAAAGACAAAUUCCUUUGUCAUACUUUGGCUGGCUAUAUACCCGGUUUUUAUGUUGCUCAAUAUUAGAAUAAACAAAUUUACAUGUUAACAAGCAAAAAGAAUAAUCAGGCAAUCGAGUCAUGUAAAAAUACAUAUAGCAUAACUAGCAUGUUAUAGCGAUAUUUUACAAUACCUAAAUGGUAAUUCCCUUAUGAAUAUCGAGAAACAAGUCGGGUUUGUAGGUUGUGUUAGAGAAAAGCAUUUACCAACUUUGAUCCAACUCUGCUUCAUUGCUUCUGAAUCUGGAGAAAACGAGGCUGGAGUGAUCCAACUCAUUGUUCUGUAGGUUCUUUUCAUUCUAUUUUCGUAAAAUGGAGUAGCUAGCCACUAGAUGAAUUGCCAUAGUGAUUUUCUGCUGUUGAAGGUGCAUGUUCCGGGUGCACUUGUCGAACAAAUUGUCCUUUUACUCUAGGUCGCUGCUCAGCAAGCUUUUUCCUACUUUCGUACCGAACCUGUGAAUCAAAAUUCACAAAAAAAGCUUGUCACUUUGCAUGCUAAUUUCCAAACAGACAGUAGAGUUACAGUUUAUCACACGGGAUUUUACUUGCUAUGGUCAUUAGCAAUUUACCUUUUUCUCAAAGCAUCUAUCUUUUCGCUUUAGACGAAACUUGGUAAGAGCUGCUUCCCUUUGGAGGGAGCGUUGUGAGUUUCUCGUGGGAGAGAAAUAACUGUCUUCGUUCUUGCUCUCUGGACCUUCUCUGAUAAGGGAAACCUGAUCAACAUUGACAUUACUUCCACAUGCACUGGCAUAGCCGUUAAGAUGGCUUAUGGCACCGUUGCAGAAACUGCUAGUUCCACUCUGAACCGUGGCGGGAGAAAUAUGUCCUCGAUCCUCCAAAGAUUCCAAUUUGUUGUACAUAAAUUGGUUGGCUGAAUUUACAUUUUGACCCAUUCCAUCAUACAAAUACAUCUGUUCACAUUUACUGUUUCCAAAACCAGGCCAACAAAAUGUAUUUGCUCGAGAGGUGAGUUCUGGCUGGCUGGCUGAACUAGGGCUCAGUGUUGGUGACGGAGUUGAUUGUCUUCCAAAUAUUGGAGGAAUCCCAGAACCAUAGCCUGUGUUUGGACUAUUAACUUUGAUGCUUUUUACAGGAAUGGGGACAGGAAAAACUCUCUGUUGAGGCCAUGAAGUUGUGGCAUGUUCAGAUUGUUUAGAUUGACAAUCAGAUUGCCAAAUAGUCAGAGAGGUUCGGGUACUUGGUGGACCAGGAGCAUUGCAAUUAAACCCACCAACAAGAUCAGAUAAAUUCUUCUCAUAAAUAUUUCCCGAUUCUUUCCUUUGAUUAGAAACACUUGGCGAAGUAGAAGACUCGGGCUGUUUGACUCUGCUAGCAUACCUGCAUUAAGGAUCCUUUCAUGGAUUAGCAAUAAUCCAGUAAUGUUAAAAUUCCAUUGACAAGUUCCAUGGAUUGCAACUCUUCUUUUUAUUCCUAUCAUGUAGCUUCUAAAGAGUAGCUUUGCUCAAUUAUAGACUAGAAAGAGAAUCUAACCUUGUGAAAGCCGAGGCAUUGGAAUGCCAAAGGAUAGGCUUUUCCCCGGAGAUUUGAUCCUCAGAGCCACUUGGAUGAUAUCAUCUCAAGGAGAGAUCCAAAAGGUGUGGCAACUCAAACUUGUUCAUGCCAUUAUUUGAAGAAGAUUUGUGAGUACUAAAUUGCCCCAUGAAGUCAAUGGCUUCUUUUGAGGAGCUGGCGAAGCCAUUACAAGCCUCAUGUUUGCUGUUAGCAUCCCUCCCUUGACUUUCUGGCCCAACAUCUUCAUUUGCAGAUGCUUUAAUCACUUCCUCGCAGGCACCAGCCAACGACCCUACUUCAAUUAAAGCAUAAAGUUGAAUGCUUUUAUAUUGAAAGAUAGAGAAUAUGAUACUAUACUAGCAAUCUGAAAUAAGCUACCUCCAGCCUCAUUCUCAUUUACAGGCAGUGUUGUGCAGAAAUCAGGAUAAUCUUUCUGCUGCUGCAUUUCUGUAUCGUUUGGUAAAGAUUUACUCCAAUUCAGCCGUGAAAAUUCCUGCAUAUUGUCUGUGUUCUCACCCUCAGCUUCCGCAUCUGGUUUCGUACAAGAACUCUGCAAGAGACAGCAAACAUGCAGUCUCUAGAUAAAACUUCAUGUAGCCAAUCUAAACUGAAAGGAAGUUCCUGCUAAUCAAUGAGCCACCUCAUAAAUUCUAAUCAAUGAGCCACCUCAUAAAUUCAUACAUACAUGCCCUGGAGAUCACACACAUUUUCCCGUAACUGUUGUGGUAUAUCCCAUACAAAAUGUACAUACUUGCGAGGCCAUCAGCUCAAUUUAAUAAACCAAUAUUACAUUAUUUAAAAAGUUUCAUGAACAGAAGAAUUAAAAGUCUUUGAUCAACUGUGAAUUCCAUAUGUAAGUCAUUCAAACAGACAAGUCCAUCAUAAAUAACUUCUCAACGCGUUCAAUUUACGAUAGUAAUUCCUUUCCUUUUUAUUUUCCACGAAUAUAACUAUAAAUCAAGCCCCAACAUAGCAAGCUGGAAUUAGAUACAUAAAACUGCAAUUUACAAGCGAGAGGCUUUACAGAUAUUGGAAAACUGCAAAUCCGAAACCUAGAUACCUUUAUUCACUCCUUAUAUAAAUUAAAAUUAAACUCACCUGAGCAUCACUCCCUUUCUCAAUUUGCUCCUUGUUUCUCUGAAUACAAGCCAAGAACCCACUUGACUGAUUACUUGCAGCAUUAUUUUCAGAAGUAGCUUCUAGCUUUUCCUGUCCAACGCUCUCAUCUUGGGGGCCACUUCCACCAACUAUUGACUGAUGAAAAUUUUAGAAAACACAGUUAAUGGACAGCUAUGAUCUGCAACGGACAGAGAGCUUUUUCAAACAGAGAGACAGACAGGGAGUGGAACUAUACAUAUGCAUCUUCUUCAUAAAUUUCUUAGCUUCCUUCUCCAUAUGACUUACCAAGAUGCAUAUAUACACGCAAAUAGGCACACAAUAAACAUGAAAAAGCUUUUUGUACAUAUACAUACAGAUACAGAGUGAGAUAGAUUAGGAAGUGUAACUAGACAUACAGCUUGUCUUCUCCAAACAUGCUGCCAUAAAUUUCUCAGCUCAUUUCUCCUUAUAGGCUUAACAAGAUAAUCAGCGGCACCUCUCAACAUGCAUUUAUAUACUGUACUAACUGAAUCCUGUGAGGACAUCACUGCAAAUUUACAACAGGAAGAAAAACAAUUAGGUUAUCCUAGGAAGGAAGAUCAAGUUUAGUAAAAUAAACGUGGAAAUCAUGAUUCCCCAUGUCAUACUUAUAACAGGAAUGCUUUUGCAAAUCUCGUGCUCCAUAAUUAGCGAAAGAAGGGCGUAUCCGGAUAUUGAUGGCAAAUCAACUUCUGUCAGUAUAAGAUCUACAUUAUGAGGUCUUCCCUUCAGCAUCUCCCAUGCCUUCAAGCCAUCAGGCACAGCAGCAACUGCUCAAACAGCACAAAAGUACCUUAUCAGCUUUCGAAUGAAAUUCGUUAAAUUUCAGCCUCAGGAGCAAGCAAUAGACAUAAUUACAUAAGGUAAAAACGGUAUGCUUUUGCAAUUUUUAAAAGACAGCUUAAUCAUUCAAAUUUAGAUUUUAAUUACAAAAGGUAAAAAGGGUCUGCUUUUUAUAUAAGGUAUUUAACCAGUUGAUGAUCCACAAGACAGAAGGAAAUGCAAACUGGAAAAGAAAAAAGAAAGGAAAUCAAACCAAAUUCUGAACAUCACACAACUAACCCAACAAAGGAAAUGAGCAGAAAAUAGAAAAGAGACCAUAAUUUACUAUUCGUCAAAUUUUUAACCUCUAAAAUCAAACUCCUAUGAAAUCCAAGAAAGACACAAACUUUUUUUUUUAUACAACCAAGAAAGACAGAAACUUGAGACUCAGAAACUUCUGCAACCAAACAAGACUCUUCUAUUCUCCAACCAACUGAAUUACCAAAUACACAUAAAUCAUAAACGAUAUGAAACAAUUACGAAGAACCCAUUUCUUCAGACGAAAAACCCGGAGAGGUAAGGAUCGUGAUAAGCUAAACAAAGCCCAGGCAAACCCCUAUGUCGAGCAAUUCUAUAAUCGAAGGAAAAGGGGAAUGAAUUGCAGUAAAUCGAGACAUACUGACCUCUGUAACUGCAUUUUCUAAGCAGAGCAGCAAUUAUUUGUCUGGUGGAAUCAUCAGCUUCAACGAGCAAUACCCUCAGUACCAUCCUGGGCAAGAAUUUCUCCCACUUCACCAAUCCGUCCUUCUUGCUCUUCCGUUCUCCGCCGCCGUUCUCCACCGCCUUCUCCUCUCUCUUGCUGCCAAACUUCACCUCCACCUCCUCACUGCUCACCACCACCUCACCCAUCUCGCUCAGCUGACUCUCUCUGCACCACUAAACCCAAGAACAAUCAAUAAUAAAAUUUGUUAAUUUUUUUUGUGUGCUUAACUUGCUUUUUGUUUCCCUGAAAAGCAAAGCUGGAGAAAAAAGCAAAAAAAUCUUUCACUCAGCCAUCCUCCGCUCAAACCUAAACCGGUCUACCUCAUCAAAAUAAAAAUAUCUAAAAAGGCCAUUCCGGAUUAAUCCGACGGCUCAGCACCCGAGUUAACUUCAAACCGACUCUGAUCCAACGGUAAGAAAUAUCUGAAGCUACAGAGGCAGCAAAAAUAUCUGGAGGUCUCUGCAGUUAGGCCCAUUAAGCCACGUCAGCAAAAAGCAGCCAUGGAUAGUGCGUUGGUUCGUGGAGAUUUUGGUGGUGUAGAUUACACGCCCACAGACAGCCUCCGCAUUUCGGAUAUUUUAACGUGGGGACACCUGGCUGUUAGUGGGCCCCACUUGAAGAAGAUAUUUUCAUGGGUGCUCUGAGGAGACAACGUGUUUCAUGGAUGUCGUAACGACACGUGUCGCAUUAAGAGAGGGUGGGUUCGGCUUGUGGUUUUGAAGUUAUCAAACGCUAUCUUCUUCAUUUUUCUUCUGGUUUCUUCCUUUCCCCCGGCCCACUCGCUUCUUCUCUACUCGCCAUUUGAUUGGAUAGCUGCCGAAUGGGAACGCAUGAUUGGCUGCUCGUAAUAUUGAUUUACCAAAAUACCCUUGACGGUGAUUUUGAAAUAUAAACGGUCAAUUGGUCAUGUUCAUUGGUGGUGAUUGCAUGAUUUUUAAACCUUACACCUGGCGGCGUCACGAGACGUGGGGGGAAAUUUUUGUAAUAAAAUAAACAAUAUGAGGUGAAAUUAUAAUUUCACUAAAAAAAAUCUAAAAAUAGAUAUUUUGGCGAUAUUUUGUGGAAAUAGCGGAAAAGACUCGGAUGAAGAGAUUUAUGUCUGCAACAACCAGAGGACACUGGUCACUGGUGCAAUAUGGGAGAAAUGGAAUUGGAGAAGACGACAGAUAGUGGGGACCAUCUUCAUUCUUCUGCUCUCUCACGUGUUCUUAUCCAUUUUCUCUCUAUCUUUUUCUCUUUCUGCUGAAUCAAUCCACUGAGAACCAAAACCCCAAUUUCCCCCCUUUUUCUUGUUCACUUUCUCUUCAAUUUUCCACCAUCCAACCACUCCAUUAUUUGACCAACUAGCUCGUACUCUCCACUGUCAAUGGCUACUCUGCUAGCUUCUUCGAAAACCAACUUUCACCACCACAGCCAUCUUCCAACACCACCGUCAUCCUCAUCGCCUCCGUGUUCAUCUUCAUCCAUGUCCAUGAUGGGUACCGCAAACCCUCAAAUUUCGGGUUUAUUGCAUCUGAAAUCUAGUUUCUUGAACCCGUUGAGUAAGAAUCUGAGCCAUGUCGAACUGGGUUCCUGUAAAAACGGUCGCAGCAAAUCGUUUGUGGUCCGGAUGUCAUGGGAUGGUCCGCUUUCUUCCGUCAAAUUGAUCAUUCAAGGCAAAAAUCUUGAGGUUUUUCUCUUUAACCUUUCACCCUUUUCUUCUGAAGGAUUCCGAAUUAGGGAAAGAAAUGUGAACUUUAGGUCAUUUUGCUUAUUGUUCACUGAGGUUUAAAAGGGGUUUAACCGUGUUGUUAGAAUUGGUACUUUACCAAAAUUCUGGGACAACAAUGUUGUUGUUGGAUUUUUCUCUAAUUUUCAAGAGCUGUUUGAUAGUUUUUGUUUAGAUUGCUGUAACAAAAUUCCUGAAACAACAAUGGGGAGCUUGAGUUAUAUUUAACCAUUUAUUUCAAACUGAAACUGAGAUAAAAAAGAACAACUUUCUUUGCUGUCGAGCAGUUAACAGAUACUGUAAAAAGUCAUGUUGAAGAGAAGGUCGGAAAGGCUGUUCAGAAACACAGUCAUCUUGUGCGGGAGGUUGAUGUUAGGUUAUCUGUUCGAGGUGGAGAAUUUGGGAAGGGUCCCAGGAUCCGGAGAUGUGAGGUGCUUUUUUCUAUUCACUGUUGAACUUUCAUGGAGUAGUGGGGAAAUAGAUUUGUUCUUUUGGUUUGAUGCCUGAUUGUUAUUGUGUUUGUGAUUGGUGAAUCCUUCAGGUGACUUUGUUUACCAAGAAACAUGGAGUUGUUCGUGCAGAAGAAGAUGCUGAAACAGUAUAUGGGAGUAUUGACUUAGUAUCGUCGAUUAUACAGAGGAAGUUGAGGAAGAUUAAGGAGAAGGAAUCUGAUCAUGGGCGCCACAUGAAGGGUUUUAACAGAUUGAAAAUUAGGGAGCCUGCACCACAGGUAGUUGAUGGUGAUGAAGAUGCAGCACCUCAACAAGAGGAGGAGGAGAAGGAGGAGGAGAACUUUAUUGAUGAGGUUGAGCCUAUUCAAUCCUUUCCUUCACUUUACUUGAAAUAAGUACUUAGAUAUCUUGUUUGAUUUUCAUAUAUGAAAAUAAGAAUUGCAUUCUUGUCAUUACCACCAUUUCGGGUUUAAUCAACAUUUGAUGUUUCUGCGUAUAUCGAGUAUAGAUGCCAUAGGAAAGAAAGAAAGAAAAUGAGCCAGAUGAGUUCUCGAACCAUGCUAACCUUCAGAACUUGUGUUUCAGAUUGUACGGACAAAAUACUUUGAGAUGCCACCUCUGACUGUCUCUGAAGCAAUUGAGCAACUGGAAAAUGUUGACCAUGACUUCUAUGGUUUCAGAAAUGAAGAGACCGGUAUGUCAUGAUUCACUUCCUGUACGUUCGUGUAUUCCUCCAGCAUUCUUUUCCAACUAAAUUAUGAAAUUGUUCUUUGCUUUGUUUCAGGGGAAGUGAAUAUUGUGUACAAAAGAAAAUCAGGUGGAUAUGGUCUGAUCAUACCCAAAGGUAAUGACAGAGCUGAGACACUAGAGCCUGUGCUUGUAGAGCCGGUAAAAGAACCCUCUUUGGCCGAAUAAUAGAAAGGAAGAUCCUGUUUUGAGAAUUGAGAUGGCUGCAAUCUAUGUUUCCAAUCAAUCAUCUAUAGAUUUCUGAUGGCAGCAGUGUACAUUAAGGCUGAUGUAUGUGAAUCUAUGAUGAAGCCCUCUAUGGGGAAUGAGAUCAACCAACUUCUAAAAUGUAUGAACGUAUAAUUGAUGCUUCUUGUGAAGAUUAGAUACACAUAUGAUAAUCUAUAAAAGAUGAGAGAAAACAUUUUGAAGUAUAUUUAGAAUCUAUAGGUAAGUUGAUAUGUGCAGCUUUCCCCUGUCUAGGCAAGUUUCUGCUGGCUUUCUUUUCCGUGUCUCAGUUGAUGGUUUCUGUUUGAAAAAUGAACUACCCAUGCUACCAUGGCUUCUAUUAAUGACGUUUGCCACAGUGAGACCAUCUCUUAUGAACACUCUCAAAAUUAGUCUUUGAGGCUAAUCUUUCUUCACCAUGUAGAUACGCGAGCAUAUGACAGGUAUUGGCAAUCAAAAUCUUUAGAGAAACUUCGGACUUCGGAUUGCAGAUGCAGUACUUUGCAUCGAAGUCUUUUUUUUUUUUAAUUGAUAUAGAUCAAUGCUGAGUUUUAUAAUUCCAAUAAUAGAACUAUUACAAUAAGACACCAAGAGGAAAUAAAGUGCUCCAGUCUCCACUAUGGAUGAUAUCUACUCUGAUUCCAUCCAAGCUCAUCAAUACAAGAAUUGCCGGCUGCUAGUACUACAGUACUACCACCUGAUCUGAUUGCCAGAGUUCUUUCUGAGGUUUCCAACUUUGUCAUUGACCAACUUAUAAUCAAGCACACCGCAACAGCUUAUGAGACUAGAUCAAGAGUCCCUCUGAAUCCAAUUUGAGCAAGGAGAAAUUUUUCUGAAAUAGGAAAUUAAGAACCAGGAAAAUAACCACUGAAUAAAAGAAACAAACUUUUUGUAACUUUGCUCCUCAUUUGGUUAGUCAAUCAUGAACAAGAGUUUCUUUGUUCUUGAAUCUUUCAGCUGAUACUGUUAAAAGUUUGUUGAGUGACAUAUUUUCUCCUCUAGUCUUUCUCUUUGCUUCAUAUCUAUGCUUGAUCCUCCCAUCAAGCUUGUAACCAAGAAAUGCAGGAAAAACCAAAAGCUCUUCAACUUCCCGACCCAUCUCCUCUAUCAAGUACUCCAUCUUCUCUUGCAAGGAACCAUGAUUGUACUGCAAAACUUGAGGAUGCUUCUUGCUCAUGGCGAGAAUGUCGGCAUAAGACAGUCCAUAAUCCAAGAAAAGCCCUAUCACCUUCUGCAUAUUCUCACAGCUUGUUCUAGUCAUAGCGCCGACUGCCAUAGCCAAUUCCUUUGUUCUAUAUUCAUACCCAAUCUUCACCAAAACUCCAAGCUUAUGUGCAAGAUUAUCUUCCAAAGACAGGGCUAGAAAUAGAGGAGCUUUUGUCAAGAACUUGAAAAUGUCAUUAGAAUCCAAGCCACAUUGCUUGAGAAACUCUACUCUUGGAUGCAAUUUACGCUCCUUGCUGGCACUAAUCACAUUUGGAAACACGAGAAUGAUCUUGAAUAUUUGUUGAUCACUUAGUCCAGCAAAACACCUGAAGAACUCUACAUGGUUCUCCAAAUGGCCAAAACUGUAGCUCAAGAUUGUAGGAAGCCUCCGCAGCACCGUCCCAGUGCCAUUUUCAUCUCCCCCACUAAGCUCCAGAAGAAAAGUAACCUUUGGAAUCAGCUGAGUUUCAAGAUCAUAAUUAAGGAUCAAUGGCCGUCUUAAAAUUAGGUCAAUGCCACCAUAAGGCUGCAAGAAAUCAAUGGUUCUUUGAAUAUCUCCAAGUGACUUCUUACACAACGCUUUUGAUAGAUUGACAUCGUUGAGAACAUAAGCAAUCUUUUCUUUAGGAACCCCAUGUCGAAGUAGUAGCCUAACCUUUCGGUUAAAACCAGCCAAGAAUCUUGCUUCCGUUGCAGUUAACAGGCGUUCGAGCUGCUUUAGCUCAAGCUUUCCUUCCAUGUCAUCGAGCAGAAAUCGUAUCAAUGGAUCAACUUCCUCUGCUGUCAACACAUUUGGGCGUUUCAUAACCAUGCGAUAAAGCGCAGUACCCGUGAUUCCAAGAGACUGCAAAGAAAGAAGACGGCUCUUUAUCUCAUCGAAAGAAGAUAAUUUCAGAGAUGGGUUCUUCAAAAGAAGAUAUUCUGUUUCUUCUUCGUUGAUUCCCAGCUCCCGGAACAAUGGAUAGAGAAAACCUGAGAUCCAAAAAGACAACACACUGAAAGCUUCGCAUGUACAUGAAGUGUUUGAUAGUUCGCCUCAAAGAGAAAAAGAAGGAGAGAGCUGGUAUCUACCAACCUGUGUCACUUUGAAGAUCUGUUAGCGAGUUGAGGCAGCCGCACUGGAUAAGAAGAUGUUGAGUGGCUCGAACUGGUUUAAUCUCAAUCGAGGUUGCAGUAGAGAAAUUCACGAGAAAGAAGCAUUCAUGAGUGCCAGAUGCUGCUGCAUGUGAAUAGACCGGAAGCUGGCUUCUGGCUGUUUGCGAGAGGAAGGAAACAGUAGAAGAAGACGAAGACGGAGGACAAAAAGGAAUGGCGAACAUGGCAAUCGAUUGUUGUCGAGUACGGGAUCGGAUUAGGAAGAAGAGAAAACAGAGGAGGAAGACGUCGUGCUCAGUUUUAGAAUUUUACUCCACAUUGGGCCUUGGCCUGGGCCUGAGCCUUCCAGGGCUGUGCAAAGAAAUAUGUACUAGAAUUUCUAAGGCAUUAUUCUUAUUAUUAUCACUUAUUUGGAACAUUACAUAUUUUAAAAAAAUAUUCAGAAUGGACAGACUCAAACAGGGUUUUCCAAAUAGUUAAAUGGGAAAUACAUGUAUCAAAUGGUUAAUUAAACGUAUCAUAGAUAUAUAAAAGUGUGGUUGGUUUUGUUUGAAGUACACUUGGUUUAGUAGGCUGUUGCCAUCUCUAACUUAUUAGUAGUACCCAUCUCUAAUUUGAGUUCAGUAGUGCAUCUGCUUAUCAGCUUAUGCCUGUGUUUCAGGUAAAUGCUGAUUUUUGUUCCUUCAACCAGCAUUUUAACUGUAAGAGAUUCGAGGGUAGUAUAACCAUAGAAAUUUCCAAUAGAAGAAUCAAAUGAUCAUCCAUCCAAAAAUAAGUAUUUACAGUAUCAUCUACCUUCCACCGCAAUGUUAUAAAUAAUUACUCCAAAAUGAUACAACAUAGAUUCCCACCAUAUUGAUUGGUCAAAAGAAUUUACUUCCUUUGCCCAUGGAAGAAUUAAGAAGGAAGUGACAGAUACUGCAAAUCCAAAAUGAUAAUAACUGAUAUCUUACUUCUUCCAAAUCAUUACUUCCAAGUGAUGAUGUAUCAGGGCUUUUCCUGCCCCUGGGAACCAAUAGGACUAUUUUUCCUAAGGUUUGCUCCACCUGUCUUGCUUAUACCAAUGCCUUUCACAAGCAUAACCGAUGAGCCUUCCUUUCUUGACUUCCUCGAUAACCUGUAAAGGAAGUCAGAAACAUGUUCAAUGUGAGGAAAAAUGUAAUGCUUAUGGGUUUAACGUGUGUGAGAGAAUCCCAGAUAAUCACAAGUGUACUUGCCUCCUUUUAGCAACUUGGCUAAGAUCACUAGGUGUCCUUUUAGUAAUUUCUUCCCUUCCCUUAUGAGGAUUCUGUACCUGCAUGAGGAAAUAAGUCACUAGAUUUUGUUUCGGAAAAACUCAGUGAAAAAUUGAUAAAAGUCCACUCAAUAAAAAAGAACGGAAGGAUUCAUGAAGAUUAGAAGUAAACUCAGCUGUGCAGAUGAUAAGAAAAUUUCGGUUCAAAGAGAGUUCAGUUUAAUCAAAUAUGACACAAAAGAAUUCACGAGAAAAUGAUUUCUAAACAACCCACAAUGCAAAUAACAGAAUCCCUUAAAGAUUAGAGUCCAUAACAAAUAGAGAGAAAAUGUAACUUCUCCAAUCGAUUUUUAGAGCAUGUUAAUGUCAGAUAGGCAAUGCAGAUAAAAACAUAUUAUGGUAAUUGGAAUUCGUUAUUUGAAGAAAUAACUUCAAAACUAUGCCAGAAACAUGCACAAGAGUCUUCCACGCUUUCAUCGGAAGGAUGUCAGAACUGUUCAUGCCAAAUAAGUCAGUUGAUUUAGAGUAUUUAUAAUUUUGAGUGACUAAAAGUAAUCAUAUGUAUCAUCAAAUAGGGCUGUUCCAUAAUUGAUGAGGAAGCCAAUAAUCCAUAGUAGUGAAGAAAAAAAGAGAGUGACGAGAACAGUAAGCAAGAGGUCCAUAUGUGGAACCAGAAAGUAGCUCCACCUUAGCACAUUGGCUCACCUGAAAAUAAGCCAUUAAAUUUGAUGGAAGGUACCCUAGCUGAUAGGAGCUAUUACAGCCACCAGAAAUGCACAGUAGAACUAAGAAAACCCCUGGCCACAGUUUGACACUUUCAUGCUCAUAUUAGCUAAGGUAUGUCACAUCACACAAAAUUAAAAAUUCAUUAUUGCAAGAGUUGUAUUAGGAUGUAGUUUUUAGACAAUUAACUUUCAGUUUUUCACAUAAAAUAUAGUGUUUUCAACCAGUUCUCCACAAAAUCAUAACUUUUUUAGUCACAUCCACAGUUAAUGGUUAAAUUUAUGAUUAUUAGCCAUGUAAUAUGUUAGAAGAACCAGCUGUACGGAAGCCAAUUCACAACGCAGGAAAAUAUCACCAAUCAUGGACCGAUGGGAGAAGAACUUCAAACCAAAAACCUCAAGGGUGGCCUACCCCACAGUAGAGAAUCACUAGACACACACUGGCAUGAAAUAACUGAUUCCAACAUAAAGUAAAGGUACAAACAGAUCGCAAACCAUAUCAAGCCAGACAGACUUUAUGAUGAAAUUUCGAUUGGCUUUCAAGGCACAAAAAGGAAGAAGAUCUACACUUACAGUAAUAGAAGAGAGUUGGCAAUUCCUUAUAAAUUUAAAUGCUGGAGUCAAAACAAAGACUGCAAUUCUUAAUGUCUUUGAUCCUCUGGUGUAAAUAAGUGCAUGCAUUCACUCUGUUAUAUCAGCAGAAACAAAUCUAGAAGAUCAUUUGUUAUAUAUUCAAGAAACUAGACUGUAACCCACACUUGCCAAGCCAACAACAAAUGUGAUAUAACAUAUCUUAACCAUGGAAUUCUCAGACCAGAUAACAAGACUUCAUAGCAGAGACUAAAAAGCUAUGCGUAUGAAACUGGAAAACAGAAGGGCAUUGAAAAGAAUGCACUCAGGAAACAUAACGUCACAGUCUUGAUCAAAACAAAACCAUUCAGUAAAAUACUACUUACGGUGCUAGAUACGUGCCUUAUCACUAGAAUUCGAACAGCAGAAGGAGAGAGUUAGCAACCAAGAGGCAAAGAAGACCAAUCUUACAUGAAAAUGAAGUUGACUGGAAGGCGAGAAAGACUCCUUUGCUUCAUCGGCUUUCCGGGAAUGUGACUCCAAUUCCGGCGUGGAGAGUUUUGCCUUUUUGCUGCCGCCAACAUUAUCCUCCGGCAUCGUAUUAUCCUUCCUCUUCUUCUUCCUCCCGAAAACGCGAGACUUACCCUUUUUAUCCCUCACUUUCCACACAUUCUUCCGCCUGUACACCAACUUAUCAGACUUCCACACUGCACAGCUCGUGUCUAUAACCGUCACUUCGCUCCUCGAGUAACCUACCAGCUCUUUCUCCCCCUUCUCUUUCUCCUCCUCCACAUCCACCUCGCACUCACCAAGGUUACCGUCUCGAGUCGUGUUCUUGGUUCCCCGAGCUCUGUUAUUGUCCGAAUUAUACGACGCCGUAGCCGGCUGAGCACUCUCGUCUUCUCGUACAAUACUGGAACCUUUGGGAGGCGAGUCGGGAGGAGGCGGGACAACGCAGAAUUUAGGGUUAGUUUGUUUCCUGGAAGACUUUUUGAAUGUUGAGGCGCGAUUAGAUCCACCCAUGAUGAAGAGCUCCGACAGGACAUUGCUCAUUACACCGAGCCAUUCUCCGUCUUUAGGUUUAUGAGUCGGUCGAGUGGAAAUCUCCGCCCGAUUGAGAGGUAGGUUUGGAUCGGUGAUCGAGUUAGUCAACUCAGGGGUAGGAGCAGCAGAAUCGGAGGCAUUGGUGGGAAUGGUGGGAGAAAGGGAGGUGUUAGGGUUAGAAUAAUUGUUGGUGAGGAAAUGGUCGAGGCCGAGGCUGUCUCCGGCGGGGAAUCCCUUAUUCGACCGGAGACGGUCGAGCCAAUUUGAACCGCCGGACUUGGUGGCGGAGGAAAUAGAGCAGAGCAUUGAUGAAUCGCGGGACAAAUCUAAAUUUAAUCGAUACAAUGUAGCGAUUGCAGAGGAAGAAGCAUUAUCAAUUAGCAGUCUGCAGAUUGCAGUGAUGGUUAAUGGUGGAUUAGCCCCGAUGGUCACUGUAAUUUCAGUAACACGUGUCGCACGCUUGAGCUCUAAGAAGCUGAACUGACUACUGAGUUCUCAUACUUCUCAAAGGACUAAUGGGGUCGCUUGGUUAUUUUUAUUUAAUAAUAUAUUAUUUUCAUUUUUUAUUAAAUUACCUUAUAAUAUAUGAAUUUCAUACCUUUUAUUUAUAUAAAAUGCUUAAAUAUUUAAAAUGUAAAAAUUGCUACCCAUUUAAGAAUAUAAAUUUGUAAGUAAUAUUUUCUAAAAAUCGAACCAGUCAUAAACAUAAUAAUUUUGUUAUUUUUUUAUUAUUAUAUUAUGAUAAUAAUAUACUUAAUUAUAUUAUUUAAAAAUCCAACUAGUCAUAGUCAUAAAAAAAAUUUGUAUAUACAAAUCAUAAACAACAUAUAAACUUCAACACUUAAAACCACUUGAAUCAAAUCAGUGUAUGUUCACCCGUUUGCACUGAAUUCCUAAAAACUAAAACUCUGGUUCAUCCUACCGAAAACUUUUUGUCGCUUGUCAGCCAGAAUUCGAAUGCUAUUACUAGGACCUGAAACAUUCAUACCGUUUGAAAGUUUCAAUGUGGAAGGUGAAGAUAUCUGUGACUCCAUACACGACAAUGAGUUCAAUGGCUUCACAAUUGCAGGCCUGCAUUUCUUCUUACUCGGAACUGGCGGGAUUUUGCAAAUUCGCGGAGGAGGAGGGUUUUUCCACUUUGGAAGCGGCCCAGCAUCUAGCAGCGUCUGGAGAAGUGGACCGGCAUCCAUUACAGCCUGCAAGAGCUUCCCCUUUUCAGGCAAAGGUCUUCCCUUGCUAGCAUUGUCCAUUGCAACGCCACAUGGUUCAGUUUUGGUCAUUGAUUUAGACACAAAACAAAGAUUGUUUGGCUGAUUAACAAAACCCGAAUCAGCCAUGUUAAUGUUGUCGAAUAAGGAAUCAACAGGAGAGAAACCGGGUGAAUGGGACAAACUGUUGGAUUCUGUAAUGCUGGAGUUGGCUUUUGCAGGUUGGACAUGGGGAAGAAUUGGAUUGACUAAGUCAGUUGGGUCAGCAGAAGACAUAAACUUGUUGAGAAGUUUCUGCAGCUGAUGUCUUGCUUCAUCUCUUUCUUUGCAAGUAAUGUUUACGAGACUGAAUAAAUGCCUCAACUGCUCAUUGUGUCUAAUUGCUUCCUCAUCCGCCUUCUUCUUCACAGACUCUAGUUGAAAAGUAGUGUAUUCAAGCUUCUGCCUGAGUUCAUCAAUAUCCUAUCAAUCCAAAAACCAGAUCAUUUUAAUACCAGCGGAAUCUCUUCUCCGGUGAUUUCCCCUGUACAAUUCCUACUUUACGAUAGAAAUGAUUCCAGACCCGUAGCCAUCUAGUACGAAUACACUCAAGAUGUUUUGAACAAAACUAGUUCAGUUUAAACUACAAAACUUUAUACGUGUUUGUGUAUGUAGAAAUGAUACGACAAUCAUAGGAUUUGUAACAAAUAAUUGAGAUAAUGAAUGGAAUGACAAUAUAAACUUUUAAUACCACUCGUGAUCUUCAUCAUUUGUAGUAAUGAAAUUGAAAGAGAUUAAAAGAGAAGAAUACAAAGGAAAGAGCCGAAUUGCCUCCUUGUGGGUUCAAAGAGGAACUAAAUCAACAUUUUAAUAUCAACUCACAGACCAUGAAGACUGGAGAUGAACACCUGUUUCAGAACCCAGAUUUUCAUAAUCGAAGAUUACAUCAAUUCUGUAAAUAGUGAUUAUAAUGGAUGUAUACUAUCGUAUAUGCAUGUAUCAGAAAGGGAAUUCAGUCUUAUCAAGAGAAGGGCACUCAGGAGGGAAACAGAGGAUCAUAUACCAAUAAUCAAAAUGAAGAAAAACAGCAAAGAAUUCGGAGAACCCAGAACAGAAAUGUGCUAUAUCAGUGAAAGAGAUGACAACAUCUAUGAAUCUCAGUGAAUUGAAACAAUAAAAAGUGUAAACAAAAACUAACGAAAAGAAUAAAGAAGCAAUGGAUAUAAUCACCAUUAAUGACUGCAGUAUCGGACAGUGUUAAAAUAAACAAAUCAAAUAUAGAAACUGGUACAGAAAUGAACCCACCUCCGGAUAACUCCAAUUAACAAAACUCAAAUCCUCCAUUUGUUGAUUCGUCCUCUAGCAAAGAAGAAUAAGAAGAAACAGACCAAGGAGAGAAAACCAGAAAACAAAAACAGAGAUAAAACAACCUGCAAGUCCUGUAUAGAGCAAUGGAAAACACACACACACACACAUAUAUAUACAGAUAUUUAUGUACGAGUAGAGAGCGAGAGAGAGAGAGACGGAGAGGGAGGGAGAGAGAGAGAGAGAGGGGGGGUUGUUUCUCAGGAAACUUGAGAAAACCAGUAGACAGCAAAUUAAGGAUUUUGCCGGAAGAAAAAACUUUCCAAUUAGCAAAAAACCGAGAUCCCAUUUUCUUCUCUCUCUGUAAUAUUCACUUUCCCGCUCUUUCAGGGCUCUUUCCUUCUUUCCUAAAAUAACUCAACCCUCCCCUUGUGGUUGUAUAUACAUAUACAUUAUAUGUAUACUCUAUACAUAUAUGUAAGGAAUAGUCAAUGAGGUUUAUGGGAGCUUUUAAUUUUUUUUACGCGGUUUUCUGUUGCAGGGUUGCAUCAAAGGUAAGUUUCCAUAAACGAAGUCCAUCAUCUUCCAUAUAUAAUCAAUUCAGACUUCGUAAUGACAGGCUACGGCAUACAGGGUUCUUCGUCCUCGUUUUAACGAAAGACGAAACAAAAAUCGAUUGCAAUCAGCAAGGCUACAAUUUGAAUUUGGGCCAUCGAUGUAAGCCCAUAAUGAACUGGGCCGAAGCAAUGAAAUGGGCCCAGUUGUUUCACAUGGCCCAAAUUAUAUAUCUGUACAUUAAAAUAAAUAUAUAUAUAUAUAUUUCUUAGAACAAUAUUUAAAAUAUAUUUUAAAAAAUCUAUUGCUAUUUUUAUUUUAUUAUUAACUAAGAAUAUAAUAUUCUAAACACAAUAUAUAAAAGUUAAAAUAAUUAGUGAGAUUAAAUUAUAAAUAAGUCAAACAAGGGUACAAUUGUAACUUGAUCUUUUCGUAUUCGGCAAGCAACAAAACGGCGUCGUUACAUUUAAAUGCUGCUACUCCACUCACCUCUGAUCUUCUACUCACAUUUCUGUCUUCUUCUACGUUUGCCGCCAUUGUUCCUCGUUAUAUUUCUUCUUCUCCACUUCGUCUUCGUCGCAAACGCUUCCCUGCUAUUUACUCUGAUGCCACAAAUUAUGCCUUUUUCGUGUCGACAUCCGAUUAUGAAAAAUUAGUCAUUGGCUUGUUUUGGUGGGGCCAUGGCUUUAAUUGAGGCCGCCAUUGGAGGACUGUGUGCAGUGUGUAUAUCUUUUCUUGUCGGUUUGAUAAUAGGGUGGACAUGGAAACCAAGAUGGGAAUGGUUCUGGAGGGAUGUGCCCAUCUUUAAUUCAGCCGCUGAUUCUUCUAAUUUGGCUAUACCGGCCUCACUUUCCACGAAGGAUUUAGGAUCGAGCUCUGCUCCUUGCUUGAAUUCCUCCGGGCCUGCAACUUUCCCGUCAUGGGUCAUCGGAGAGAGAGACACAAAGACAACUCCUUUACCUGCUAGCAAAAAUGAUGAUUGCAGGUUAUUGAGCUGAACACUUUUCUUAUUAUACCCUCUAGAAUUUCAUAAUGUUUCAAAGUUUGUUCCUUGUUUGUUAAUUUUCCCCAUGUACAAUAUCUGGUUGCGGAAUUCAAUUUGUUUUUUGCUUACGUUUUGCACCAUGAAGUGAUCGUCAUGGGAUUUCAUAAGCAAUUAUGGAAACUGCUAAGGAUAUUGGAAAAUAAAAUUAUUAGAAGUUACCUUCUUCACCCCCUAACCCCCAAAAAGAAAAAGAAAAGAACUGUUACAAUUGGAUAAUUCUUGCAUUUUCGUAUGUUCUUAUCUUGAUAAGAUGGGAUUUAAUUAGUAUAAUUUGUGAGAUAUAGUUGUCCUUGGCUCCUAGCCCUGUCGUGAACAAAAAUCUUCUGUUUAUAUGUCUUCCGUGAAAUGUGUUUUUGCCUAGUGAGAUUGGGAGUGAGACGUGUUAGCUCAUAAGAUGUGUUGUUUGUUUAGUAAAUCUCAGCUCAAUGAAGGGCAACCUAAUGUUGUGAAGGAGGAAGAUUUACAGUAUUUAAUCCAGCUUGUAAAGAUGAAAGGUGGAGGUCCUCCUUGGAUACACAUGAUGCAUCGUGUCAUGCCGAAUAUGAGCUAUCAAGCAUGGUGGAGAGAUCCCAAGGUUAGGUUUUCUUGCAUAGUUUGUUGGUCCCCUUAUUCUUUUAACUUCAAUCAGUAUAUUGAUAAUUGAUGUCUUCAUUCACAUUCUGGAGUUUUAGUCAUUCAGAUGUUGUUUUUUGCUCUCUGAUUUUGAUUUAUUUAUUGGCCCUGUUAAGAAUGGUCCUUGUCAAUAUCGAAGUAGAACUGUGUUUGAGAAUGCCGCACCGGAGUUGGUGAGGGACUUUUUCUGGGAUGACGAGUUCAGACCAAAGUGGGAUAACAUGCUUGCAUCUUCUACAACCAUAGAAGAAUGUCCCAACACAGGAAACAUGGUAGUGCAAUGGAUACGUAAGGUGAGCCUUUUCUACAUUUAUUUUGGUGGAGUGGUUGAUGUAGGUUUUGAAUGCUUAUCUUUUGCAAUGCUUGGUGAUGCAGUUCCCGAUUUUCUGUAGUGAUAGAGAAUACAUUAUAAGUCGACGAAUAUGGGAGUUGGGAAGAUCUUUCUAUUGCGUGACCAAGGUAGGAAGAAAUCUAAUUUACUGUUUAUAUGUUUUGACCUAUCUGAUAGCUUACAAAUGGAAAAUCUACUUCGACAUUAAUGGAAUGAAUCCCUGUGGUUAGAGUAUUAAUGUUUUCAUCGAGGAUUUACUAGGUUAAUUUGCCCCUUAACUUUUUAGCACGUGAUAUAUAAAGGUUUGAACACAUGUAACUUAUAAGGAGAAGCACGGAGGUAAUCACUUUGGAAUUGGAGAAGCAUUUGAAGUGAAAAAGGAACGUGAACAAUAAGAAAGGAAAUAAAUUUAUUGCUUAUGCCUUGCUUAUUUGGUGUAACCAAAUGAUAUGAUUUGCCAUUCUCAUUCUUCAAUUUUUCAGGGAGUGCCCUAUGCUUCUAUUUCAAGCCGCAAUGGAACAAAACGAGUUGACCUAUACUACUCAAGUUGGUGCAUUCGAGCAGGUAACUUCUAUUUUCAGUUAGUUAUAUUUGAGUGUUAAUGUUGUGCAAGUGUAAAAUAAUCAAACAAUGAAGAACAGAAAAAAUAUGGCUUGCAAGAUCUGUUUGCUCAGUCUAUAUUCUGUAAGAGAGAUGCCAUCCACCCUCUCUUCUAUCUAUUAUAACAAUUAGUCUUUUCAAAAGGAGCAGGCAUCGUAGAGUACUGUUUUUUUAGAUUAGUAGUCAAUUUUCUGGUUUGUCUUUAAAUCAAUUAAAAUAAACUAACAAAUGGUAAAAUUCCCUGUGAUAACUAGUGGAAUCGAGAAGUGGUGAUGGCCAAAUGACAGCAUGUGAGGUGUUACUUUUCCAUCAUGAAGAUAUGGGAAUCCCGAGGGAACUUGCAAAGCUUGGAAUACGGCAAGGGAUGUGGGGAGCAGUCAAGAAAAUUGAGCCUGGCUUACGCACCUACCAGAAAGAAAGAUCAUCUGGAGCACCCCUCUCUCCAUCUGUUCUUAUGGCUCAAAUCACUACCAAAAUAAACGUGGAAUCUCUUAUCUCAACAGGCUGCACAAGAAAUUUAUCGGAGGAAGAAGUGUCAACAGCUGACAAGCCACCGGGGAGGAACAUACCAAAGCUCAUAAUUUUUGGCGCAGCUGUUAUCCUUGCUUGUAGUCUUGACAGAGGGUUAUUGACGAAGGUGUUUACAUUUGGUGCUGCCAGAAGCUUUGCCAAUAUGGGAAGAAGAUUAUGAUUUAUGUGCUGAAGAUCAAUUUAGGGAUGUUGACUGUUUAGUAGCUCGCCUUUUGUGUAAUUGAGCAGUUUCUUUUUCCUUUUCUUUUCUAGUAUUUAGCAGAGAGGUGACUGUUACUUACCAUUCUGAGGACACUGAAGUUUCUGAUCUGUCCUCUGAUACUAAAUUCUUUGGACAACAGAACUGCCACGGCAAGCAGCCACGUUCAUUUGAUUAAGCGAAUACACAACUCUGUAUACCUGAAGCUCAAAGUUUCUUCCUAAGGUAUUCCCUGAGCUGAAAGAAUGCAGUAGCAUGUGUUUGUUACGUGCUGACUGCUCUGAGUCUCUUCUCAUGUUGCCUUAGAAAGUGGGUAUGCAGUUUGCUCAUAUUCAAGUUCUGCCAUUUUGCGCAUUUAAGAAAAUGAGCUUCGUCAUCCUAACCGUGUUUUCUUAUGAAAUUGCUAUUGGGGCUUAUAACAGCAGGCUUGGAACUGAUAUAUAUAAGUUUCCUUACUUUUGAUGCUAUGCAAGAUUUUGGAUAAUUACACCAUUUGCAGCAGAUUAGACGAUUAUUUUAUAAAAUUCAAGGCUCCAUCUAAUGUGAGCAUGGGUUGCAAAGCUAUGCAACACUUUGGAUAAUUACACUGUUUGGAGCAGAUUAGCUGCCAAGCAAAAGCAAGAAAACUCGAGAUUUGUGGAUAAGAACUUCAAGGCGUCAUGCCACUUUGAGGUAAUGUUUUUUAUCCUUGUUCCCUAUCACAUACAAAAACAAUUAUGAUUUCUAUAGAAAGUUGACUUAUGUUUCUGAGAUCCAUACUCAAGUGAGUAUAUUUCUGUGUUCUGCCGGCUGUUCAUGCAGUCCACUGGUUUUCAUGCAACCACCACAGAGGCGGCUGGCAAUGUCAGUGGCCAACAAAAGUUUCAAAAGAGUGCAACCCAUCAAACUGUGGUGCUAACUUGGGCAAGUGAGUGUUCUUCAUUUUCUUCUUUUGGUUUGCCAGGAUAUGCUGCAGAUAUUCCGUCAUCCCACCUGCAGCUUCCUGGACAGAUGAAAUCAUAUCUUCUGUUAAAAUUUUUAAUUAAACCAGGAAUAGAAAGAAAUACCAGCAUAGGCGUGCUGGAAAAUGCUUCAUCAUGAUUUGAAGAUAAUCUAAUUACCUCGGUUAUGUUGUGGUUUCUGUCAAAGAAAUAAAUCCCAAUUGCAGCAACUAGAAGGUAGUCGUAGCCAUAUGAGCCGCACCUUGGAUAGCUCAAUGAUUGAUCUUUAAAAGGUUCCAACAGACAAGAUGAAGACAGUAAAAGCUAAGCCAAGGAAAGUAAAGAUACCUUGGUGGUCAAGAGAAGUAAAGAAUGGUGUGAAGACAAGGACAAAUUUUAUCACCAAGGAAAUGCAAAUGUAAGUAUAUUAAAUAUGUUUAUAUGUAUAUGUGGAUGAAUAUUUGGAUGUCAGGAAGAUGAGGCUAGAGGGUAGCAGGAUAAUGUUAACUGGCAAAUGAUAUGAAGAUGAUGUGGGAGAGGGUUUUAAGAGAAUAACAAGCAGGACACGUCAUGAGCAGCGCGCUCACCACACAAGCCAACCUUUUUCUCUUAUCUUCUUCACCGUCACCGUGGAUCAAAUUGAAGUCGCAGCCAUUUUUUGCUCGACAGCUCUCUGUAAAUCUCAUCACAUGGUCAUGUCCACAUGGUCACCACAUGGCUUCAUGUGUGACUAAUCACACGUAACAGUUCCUUCUAAUCGGACUGCUAGCAGACCAUGUGGAGGUGGAAAAUGAGCCGUUUGUGCUUUCCCUAUGGCAUCAAUUUAUCAACUUGCGUUUCAACAACUGCUUAGUUGCAUAGUUGAUACAUCUCUUUCUCCAUAAAUUACGCGUACUUAUCUAAAAAUUUAUUUAUAAUAUAUUGAAAUUAUUGUCUACUUACCACCUAAACUACUAAUUAAUAUACAAAAUUACCCCCCAAAAAAAAAAUUAUCAACUUAUUUAUGAUCUUAAUGUUGAAAUACAAUGGAACCCCAAAAAAAUUGGCUAUGGUAUCUUAUUUACAAGAUCAUUGCAAUUUAUUCAGUGAGAAAAUUUCGACCAGUUACAAUGAAAAGACAAGUAGAUAAAAAAAUCUUCAAGAAGGAAUUAUUGUCUCAAAACAGUAUACUCCGUCCAACUCCGGAGCAAACCUCGGCGUUCUACGUCGUUCCCGAGGAGAAGCAGAUUUCUUGCAAUCGGAAUUUUUGGAGGAGGGCGGCGGCGAUGACGACUUGUGGUCUGUGGAUGGGUUUGAGGAAUCGACGGAGGAUGGCUUGGAGGUCUGCGACUGCGAAGAAUCCCAUGAAAGCUUGAGGCUGCGAGCGUAGAAUUCAGGAGAGAAAGCGUCGAACGAGCUGAAAAUUGACAUCAUUUUGUUAUACAAAUAAUGAUCAGAAACGUUGGUGGGUUUUGACUGCUGCAAGCUUUGCUUGGAUAAGGAUGGGGGGCUUCACUUACAUGUAUAUAUAUAUAUAUAUAUAUACACACACAUUUACACAUGUAAUGAAUGGAUAGAAUGAUCUGGAAGAUUUGUUGUGAGUGUAAGAUUGGAGGAAGUCCGCGUAAAAGGAUCAAGAAACAUGUACCAGAAACAUCGGGAACGUGGCUUGUUGUUAGAGGACCUUCAUUACCUGUUCUGUCCCGUAAUUUCCUCUAUAAUUUCUGGUUGAUUUUACGUGUUAAGUGACAAAACCUUCUUCUCUAAAUACACUGGAUACAUCCUAUAUCUAUAUAAUCAUAUAACAAAGAAAAUUUUUAUUUGCAUAAAUGAUGUAUUCCAAUUUGGAACGAAACCAUAAUUUUUUUUUUUACCCUUUGAAUUAUUCUACCAGAUCAAUCGCUUAAGAUCUGUAGUCUCUGUUCAGACCCAAUAAACUCGUUGAGAAACCGUUCUGAAAUUAGAAUGGUUCUGAUCUAGUCAUGGCUUAUUAUACGAUACGUUUGAUAACAAUCAAGUGAUAUUAUAUACUCCACCAAAACUAGUAUAUUUUCCGACAUUAAGCAAGAAUUAAAACUGAAAUCGGAAAUCUAAACACAGAUAUAGAUAAUCACUGGGCCAAAACCCAUAAUUUACAUUCGUCAUAGCCAUUGGCAAUUAUGCCUCCUCCAAAAAUUUUUUGUGCCCACAAAUUUUUACUUUCUUCACAUUAGAAAGUAGAGGUCUUGUUUCUUAUUUGAGAUUGGCAAUCAGAACCAUUGAUGUUCGCCUUACAAAUUUAUUACUUUUCUCCUACUAAUUCAUCCGUACUGAAAUCAUUCUAGGGUUUGUUCAACUAACAAAUAUAUAUAUAUAUAAGUGCGUAUAAGCAUAGUACAUACAUGCAGUAACGAUUAAAUAAAGAACAGAAACCAACAAAUUCAAAUGCUGCUGUGGCGUUGGGAUGAGUCCUAACGUUUAGAAUUAGAAUUACAAUACAAAUUCCUGCACCUAUUCUACCUUGGUUUUGAAAGGAUGAAAAGUUUAUAUAUAUUCUACCUUAGUUGUGUGUAUAUAUAUAUAUAUAUAUGUUAUAUAAAAGUUAAAAGUAGAAAUUCAAUUGGGUCGAGAGUGAAAAUAGAAACAAGAAGCAAAUGGUACAUAUAAUUAAUCCAAGAACCAAAUAAAAAAUUAUCUAACUUGUGUAAACGGAUCAAAACUGAUUGAAAUUCAUGUUACAAACCCUAAACUCUCAACAAUUCUUAACAAAAUUAGAAUUCCCAAUCAAGCCAGACGUAAAGACAAUACCAAAAUGCUAAAGUCUAGUCGAAGAGACUGAAACCCAUAUCGUCGUCACUCUCCUCCUUGGGCUCCUCCUGUAAAACACCACAAUUCAAGCACGACAAACAUCAAACAUCUCACCAAUGAACUAGGAAAGCAAUUCACCGACAACCUCUGCUAACCCAAAAAGAAAAAACGAAAUAACACGUAAACGAGGUGACCAGUGAGAAUCAUACCUUCUUCUCCUCCGCAGCAGGGGCGGCCGGGGCGCUGGCGCCCGAAGCAGGGGCGGAAACGGCACCAGGUGCAGCAACGCCGCCAGAACCGACGUUCACCAUGAGUUCUUCAAUGUUCUUCUUCUCAGCCAACUUCGCAAAAAGGAUUGGCCAGAAUGACUCCACCGUCAAAUUCGCCGCAUUGAUCAAUUUGGAAAUCUUCUCAGACUGUUUCCCAUUCACCAUCCAAAACCCAGGAGAUUUCAGAUCGAGAGAUAAAAAGCUCGUUAGAAUGAAAUCAAUCAAUGCAUCAUCGUGUAAAUGUAUAUCCAAAGAUUUGGACGUUGCUAAAGAGAAAUGAGAUUACGGUAAUUGCAAUCCCGUCAUCGAGUAAGAUGAGGGAAGCGUAGGUACAAGCGAGUUCUGCAGCUGCCAUUGAAGCUCAGACGCAAUAUCACUGCCGAAGUACCUGAAUAACGAACACCCAAACUGAGGAAUUGAAAGCCAACACAAUCAGAAUAAAGAAGAGAAGAGAAGAGGAAAUAUACCCAAGAAAGCUGCAAAAGAGAGAGGAAAUUGCGUUAGAAGAAGCGAGGGUUUUUAUGAACAGCAGCUUUAUACCUCGAGGAUUAGGGUUUUGGCGUUUCCACGUGUUGAUUGAAGGACGAAAUUCGGGCCGGGUCGGGUAAUGUGUAGGUCUAUAUUGAAUCCGGGUGUGAGGCUGUUCGGCCGAAUAUACAUUAGAGAUUACAUGUUCAUAAGCUGAUAACCAGGCCCUUUUUUAACUUUUUAUUUUUUUAUUUAGAUUUUAUUAAAGCUAAUAUUUAUAAUUACUAAUAUCUUCCUAAAAUUUAGUUUCACAAAUAUAUAUUUAGAAAAAUAUAUUUAUUUUCAUAUAAUAUAAAUAUAUAUAUAUAUAACAAAUAAAAGUAAAAUUUUAAAUAAAAUAAACGUUAUAAUUUCAAAUUUGCAUCAUGUGAAUAUUUUUUAUUAGCUUUCAAUCAUUAGAUUCAAUAUCAGAACUUUAUAGAAAAAAAUCGACAGAAAAUAAAUCAGUGAGAAGAGAGACAUAUAACAAGAUCAUUCAAACAUAAAGUAAAAUUGACAGGCAAUUUAAACCUGUAAUUUCGAGGAAGAGAUCGUCAUUCAAACUAUCAAAUUAUAACGUAACACAUAGAUGAGAGAACUUAAAACAUGAUUAUCCGAUUUAAAAGAUAGCAGAGAUAACCUGUAAGCUGAAAUUAGCUCAUAAAAAACCAGACUUCCCAACUGUGCUUCACCAAAAAGAGUAAAAGAAUCAUUAGCCAACUUCUGGGUUGUGACUGUGGAGAGGCAAUUCUCAGAAUCCGAAAUAGACAGCAAUUCAGGGUGCUUUCCGGUAAGGUCAAAAAGAUGGAGUGGCAUUAGGAGGAUUUUACCAAAGGGUAACCAUCAGUCUUACACAUAACACAUUUCAUUCAACAAGUUGACAAUGGUAAUAACCCAUUUUCCCAAGUUUGUUUGGCACCCAGUAGGUUCUAUUCCCUAGUAUACAAAAUCAAUGAAAGAAUUCAAAGUUCCUGUUUGGUCAAGUAGAGUGAAAGCUAGAUCCAAUAAACAGAAGAAUCAUAGUCAAAACAUGCUAUCUAACAAUUCACAUGAUCUCUUGUAAGAGACUAAUCCCGUGUGAUUCGUCAAAGAUGACAGCCAAACCCACACCUCUAACUGGUGUUUUAGUGGCAAUUCCCACCUAGUUGCUGCCAUUGUCCAUCGAGACAGUCUACCCAAAUUAAACUUGAGCCAAAAUGCAAUGACGUAGUUGAAACAAGAAUCCAAACAAAAAUAUGUGAAACAAUUAGAGGAUGGAACUAGUUAUGAAAGGAAGGUAGUACAAGAAACUACUAUAUCUUGUGAGGCAACAGAUUGAAAAGGAAAACUGGUGAGUCUGGUAAAUCAUCACCCGGAGACACUUAAAGAAGUGGACUUAAUUAUUCAAUCCGGUAAUAAAGUCAUAGCUGGGUAAAUUUCUCACCAUAUGUACACUACAAAGUUACAGGAGAUUCAGUUGUUACAAGCAGAAGAGGCUAACCAUUUAGUAACCUCUAGCAAGAUUCAAAUGUUUUAGGCUCUGCCGCCAUGAUUUCUUCAAAAACAAUGUCAGAAAGGGUUAAAUUCCAUAUCGGAACAAGCAUAAUAUAAGAAAUAUUUGUUCACUUACUAAGCCAUGAGAAUUGAGAUAUUCUAACUCAAUCAUAAAACAACAGAAACAAAAAGUUGCAUCCCUUGUUUUGCACAACCUGAUUUUGGCUAAAAACUCCAUUAGAGAACAUAUAUAAGACCAUAAAACUCAUUCGCAAGCUAUAUAUCUUAACUCAGUAAACACUAAUUCUAGUAUGCUGACAAGAAAUUCAAUUGAGACUUUGAGCAGGCCAGCACAGGGAGACCUUAACUGCAAGCAACUCCCAGUACAGAUCUACUUUUCCUACAGAAAACGGAUAGAUAUACAAUCAUGUUUAUCUGGCUACCUAACAUCUAACUACUAAUACAAUCAAGCAAGGUGCGAUUUUAAUUAACACAAAUUCGGACCUUAAACUUUCAACAACUGCAUCUUGUUAGCAAAAGCAAUGGCGAUCCAAUCAGGCUGAGCUGCAGACCACUGCAGCUGGUUAAUCUCGGACCCAGAAGAGUACAUGGACAUUGGGUCGAUCCCAUUGGGUCCAGCCACCGUCGGCAGCUCCCAAAUAAGCGCCUGCGUGUCAUCGCCAGCGGAGCAAAUGUGUCUGCAGCUCUGCGGAGCCCAAGCAAUAGCGUUAACACUCGCGUGAUGCCUCUCCAACUCAGCUACCGGCAUGGUUGGGGAGCGAAUAUCCAGAAUCACAACUUUGUUGCUGUCCAUCAAAAUGGUCGCCAUGUACCUCAAAUCCUGCUUGUUCCAAGCCAAUCUAAGCAAAGGGGUAUCAGGUUGCGGGCUCUCGUAGAUAAUGGUGGAAUGCUCUUUGUCUCUCAAAUCGAAAAUUCUGACAGACCCAUCGGCGGAUACGGAGGCGAAGACCCUGGCUUCGCCCCAAGCGAUGUCGUACACCUCCUUAUCAUGAGCUAUGAGCUGCGUUUCCACCGCGCCCUUCUCGAUAUCCCAGAUGGUGCAGGUGGUGUCGAUGCUCGAAGUCCCGAUUCUCCGGGGCUCCACCUCGUUCCAAUCGAAGGAGGUCAACGGAGCGCAGAACUCGCUUGUUUUGCUGUUGUUGAGGACAGACACGGGUUCCACCGACGAAUCGCGGAUCUCCCAUAGCCGAAGAAAGUCGCCAGAGGACGCAAGCAGAUCGGAUGAGGAUUUAAGAAGCGAGGAGGGAGCAUUUGGGUGGAACAUCAGCUUGGUAGGCGGGUACGGAUGCUCGAAGGAGAGAGUGGGUUGUGUUCUAAUUGAGAAUGUUUCCGGGUCGAAAAUGAGGAUGUCGACCCGAUUUGUAAAAUCCUCAAUGAAACUCCCGACGGCAAUGCGUUGCGGGUGGUGGUGGUGAUGGUGGAUAGAAGAAAAGGACAUGGCGUAGAGAGGGUAUGGGGAUUCGUAUGUGAUGCAGUUAUCUGAUCCCAGGUGGGACUCUUGAGUUGAGUUCUCCAUCCUUAUGGGUAGUGAGUUAAACCUUUCUGCAAUACGAAAAUAAACGAAGAAUAACAAAAAAAAGGAAGAAGAAGAAGAACAAAAUAAGAGAUGGCUGAAGGAGAAGGAAUUAGUUGACUGGUAGGAAGUUCAUGGAAGUUCUUGGGCCUUUGACAGGAAGAUAAUCAGAAAGGGGAAAUCCUGAGGGGGAUGAGAAAUGCUAUAGUACGUGCGUCUUCAUUGGACGUAUGUUAUAUUACCAAAUCACCAACCGUCAAUUUUGUUGUGAAGAAGUAUAUACUAUCAAACUUAAAUUUUUCGUGGGAGGAAAAAAAUUGCUUAUAUUUUUUAAUUUUUACUUAGAUAUAAUUAAUUUCCUUUCAACUAAAAAUUGUGAAAAUUAAUAUUUAUAACAAGUUUAAUAAUUAUUGAAAAGCUAAAAGUUUAAUAUAUAGUUAUGCCUAUAUAUUAUUUUUAUUAUACAAAUAAGAAAAGUAAUAUCUAAAUUUUUUUGAUGUGACAAGGUGUAUAAAGAUAUAAUAUUUCUAUAAAGAACUAAGAUACCCGAAAGUUAGAUAGGGUGGUAUUUAUGUAAGGAUUAUAUUGACCUUAAUUUUUAUGAAAUACAAAUAUUCAUUGAAUGAUAAGAAAAUAGUAUUUACUACGAGUAUUCAAAUUUGUACGUUUUAUUAUCUUAUAUAUCAAAUACACCAAACAGAAUAAUUAAUGUCUCAUUCGUAUUAUUUAUUAUGUUAUUAUGGAUAGAUUAAGAUUAAAAGAUUUUCAAAUUAGAAAUAUACUUAUUUUGUAUGAGACAAGCCAAUAAAAUGAACUAAACGAGUUUGGCACCAUGAAUUUUGUAUCGCGCACAUCAUUUAGUGGGUUCUAGCUAUAAGGUUAUAUAAGAGGGAAUGAAUAAAUAGAAUACGAAAGAAAAAUACAUAAAUAAAAAGGGAUGGAAUUCCAUUUGUACUGUAUCUGAAAUGUAUUUUGGAUAUUUCCACCCUUGAACCCAAGACUUUUUUCUUUCAAUCAAGUAAUUUAACAUUUCGAAUAUGUAUGAACUAUUAACAUUCUCUUUAAACGAGAGGAACCACAGCAUGAACACAUAAAAAAUAAAAGAAGAGGAAGGAUAAUUGAUUUUUUUCUCGACGAGCGAAAUGAGAACAGCCUAAACUGUGAAAACGGGGUUGUGGGAGAGCAAUAAAAGCGUCGUGCUACUAGGCGAAACGGUGGAGUGCUGCACCCUAGAUGGUGAGAGUCCAGUAGCCCAAAACAUCACUAGCUUAUGCUCUGACCCAAGUAGCAUGGGACACAUGGAAUUCCAUGUGAAUUAGCAAGGACAACCUUGUAAGGUUAAAUACUCAUGGGUGAUUGAUAGCGAAGUAGUACCGUGAGAGAAGGGUAAAAAGAACCUCCAUCGGGAAGUGAAAUAAAACAUGAAACCGUAAACUCCCAAGCAGUGGGAGGAGUCCAAAGCUAUGACCGCAUGCCUGUUAAAGAAUGAGUCAACGACUCAUAAGCAAUGGCUUGAUUAAGGGAACCCACCAGAGCGAAAGCGAGUCUUCAUAGGACAAUUGUGGAUAUAAUAUUCAUAUAAAGAACUAAGUGAAAUAAUUCAGUUUAAAGGAAGCCCACUUAGCAAUUUACUAUGUGGACGAUCAAAUUCGGUUGGGCCCACGAAAAAUAUGGACCCAAAUGAUUNNNNNNNNNNNNNNNNNNNNNNNNNNNNNNNNNNNNNNNNNNNNNNNNNNNNNNNNNNNNNNNNNNNNNNNNNNNNNNNNNNNNNNNNNNNNNNNNNNNNNNNNNNNNNNNNNNNNNNNNNNNNNNNNNNNNNNNNNNNNNNNNNNNNNNNNNNNNNNNNNNNNNNNNNNNNNNNNNNNNNNNNNNNNNNNNNNNNNNNNNNNNNNNNNNNNNNNNNNNNNNNNNNNNNNNNNNNNNNNNNNNNNNNNNNNNNNNNNNNNNNNNNNNNNNNNNNNNNNNNNNNNNNNNNNNNNNNNNNNNNNNNNNNNNNNAAUAUAUGCAAUUAUUAAAUUAAAAAUUUUAAUUUUUCGGAUUUUAACCUACUUAAAUCGAUUAUAAACGGAGAUCAUUUUUAUUUUUUAUUUUUUAAUAUUUUUAUUGGAGUAAGAGGCCUUCUCGAAUUUGAAGAAAAUGAGAACAUGGCAUUGUCACCUUAAGCGUGCCGUCGUCAUCGAAUGACGUCAAUUAUUGCCGUUAAGAUGACGGAAUAUUUUUUUUUUUUUUAAAAAAGCAGAAUAAUUAGGAUUUUUAAUACAAAUAAAAAAAAAACAAAUGAUUUUCAAAUUGUAAUAAAUUAAUUUAAUUAAAAUUUGUACAAAUAUGAUAAAUAUUUUUAUUGUCUUGUUUUGGAUCCCAUAUAAAUAAUUUAAAAUAUUUAAAGAAACUAUAACUUGGAUUUUUUUUUUAUUUAAAAAAAUUAUUAUUAUAUACCCAUUUUUUAAUUUUUAUAAUUUGUGAAAAAAAAAACUCAAAAAAUUAAUUUAAAAAAUAGAGACUGAGUUUUACGUGUAAAAUUAUUUUAAAUUUUCACGAUAUUACUCUAAAAUGUAUUAAAUUGGUAGAGUAGGGGGAGUUUCUUUGUGGGGGCAGUACGGAUGGACACAUCAAGAAUAUGUGCCGCCUUAUGAAUGGUAGCCACGCAUGUGGCCUUCCUCCUCUUGUGGUCACUUAUGCUACCCCUUUCAACCAGUCACCGACUCCAAUCUACGUUUUCAACUAGACCCUCCGGUUUAAUUUCAAACUCAGUUUUAUCUAAUAUAAAUAUAUUUAUAUUAAUUAUUUAUUUAACACAUAUUUUCAAUACGUCAUAUUAUCGUCUGUACUAUUUUUAUUUAUUUUAUUAAAAAUUGAUUUAUUUUUUUAAAAUUUUAUAAAUAAAAAUAAAUAUAAAGUUGGAAUCAUAGUGUUAUGUAUUGUACUUAUAAGUGGGAGGGACUAAAGUCAAUUAUUUAAUUAAUAAGGCAUCCUUUAGCGACCUUGGCAUUGUCUUUUAAUUAUGUGUUUCGUUGUUAAGCACCCAACAUGAGGGUCGUGCGUCAAACAAUGUCUUCCAAUUUUUUUUUUUUUAAUUAAUAUCAUAUAAUUUUGAGUAAAGUAAUUCUCCACUAUAAAUUAUGUUAUAUGUAAAUUAAAAAUCCAAAAUCAUCAUUAUUAUUUUGUCACAUUAAUUGUGGAAAUUCAAAUGAAUUGCUGAUGUAGAACCCUAAAUUUUCAAUGUAUAUAUAUAUAUAUAUAUAUAUAUAUGUAAGUAGAAUUUGCCACGACUUCAAUGGGGCAGGAGGAGAGAUCUACCUCAACUCCAAUGGUGGUUACGUAGGGUUUUAGUAUUAACUCUUGGUGGGCUCUCUUAACCUUUCCUAUAAUUUAUUGUGAAUUCACACACAAAGCUUUUCCGCAUCUUAUAUACUCUCAUCAUUAUAUAUACUCUACGCGAUAACUGUAAAAUUCAAAUUUUCUCUUGACACCAUCAACUCCUCUAAUUUUGAAUUCACGACCAAUUUUUUAUAUAUAUCGACAGAAGUUGUAUUGCUUGAUCGAAAAAUUUAAGAGAUUAUUUUAAACCCGAUUGAGUAUUUGAGGAUCGAGUUUCUUGAUACUAAAAUCAUCAAAGACGAUUAUAUAUAUACAAAGCUAAGGUCGUAUGAAUUAUUAAAUUUGACACUUAAAAAGCACUUAAUGUAACGGUGAGCUAAGAAGAGGGGACUAAAUUGAAAAUUUUUAACAAGUAUAGAUACCAAUAUGUUAAAUUAAAUAAAAUUUACAGUGCAUGGAGCUGAGUGUAAACAGCGCGUAAGCCAUAUCAAGAAGGCUACACAUGUCAAUCCACCAUUGGCUCGAGACUUAAUCAAGAGCUUCGUCAACGAAACAGCUACUGUAGUUUGUACUGCAGCCGAUAUCUCGUGCGUCUAUAUAAACAUUGUCCGUCCGAAUUCUUCAUCAUCUUCUACGGAACCUUUCGAACAGGAAUAAACAAAGAAAGUAAAGGGUGCUUGUUUUUUUCUGCCCCAUUAAUCUUUCUCUUUCACUUGUAUUUUUAAUCUACAGUUUAUAUAUAUAUAUAUAUAUCUGGGUUUGUUUAAUGGAAACAAAAGUACUUUCCUCCGGUGUCCGGUACGAAAACUUACCGGAAAAUUACGUCAGACCGGAAUCCGAGCGUCCCCGAUUAGCGGAAGUGUCAGCUUGCCAAAACGUCCCUGUUGUAGACCUGGGUUGUGACGACCGGACCCAAAUCAUCCAGCAGAUUUCCGAUGCCUGCAAGGACUUCGGCUUUUUCCAGGUACAUAUAUACUUAUGUAUAUAGAGAGCGAACUUUGGUCGAUUCUAUUUAUGUGGGUGUGUAUAUAUAUAUAUGUGUGUAUUAUAUUAUAGGUGAUAAAUCAUGGGGUGUCGGAGGAGACAAGGGAUGGAAUGAUAGGAGUGGCGAAGGAGUUUUUUAGUCUGCCGAUGGAAGAGAAGAUGAAGAUUUAUUCCGAUGAUCCGGCGAAGACAACGAGACUGUCGACGAGUUUUAAUGUCAAAAAGGAGAAAGUUCAUAAUUGGCGAGACUACCUUCGUCUCCAUUGUCAUCCUCUUCACAAAUACAUGCCGGAGUGGCCUUCUUCUCCUCCUUCUUUCAAGUAAGUAUGUUCAUAUACAUACAUACAUGCUCCGCCUUCCAUAUCUCGUUAUGACUUUUCUUCUGAAUCAAUUUGAUAUUUUCAGAGUUUCCAACCGAACUGAUGUCACCCACAUUCAUCUCAAAACUCUUAUAUAAAUUUUAGUAUUUUUAAUUGCACCCAGUUCGAAUGCCAAAGUAUUCAUAUAUUAAUUCAAUUGUCAUCGUAUACAUAUACAUAUACAUAUAUAUAUAUAUUAUAUUCUUCCAUGUCUGAAAAUUUUUAUAAAAAUUUGUGUCUUAUUAUAAUAUUCAAAAUGAAUUGUAUCUCAAUUUCAAAUACACUGAAAAGAACACAUGAACCAUAACUCACGUAAAGAAUAAUAAAAUUUAAUUAUAAUUAAAGUACACAUGUAAUGUUACACUUCCCAAAUUUUUUUUUUAAAUAUCAAUUUAUAAAUUAAUAUGCCAACAUAUAUACAUAUAUGUAAACAAUCUAUAAGAAUUAAUUAAAAUUAAUAAUUUUUUAAUCACAUUUUUUUUCUUAAUUUUCGUCUUCUCCAAAUUGUGCCACGUUUUGCCCACGUGAAUUUUGUAUACUUAUAUACAUACCCAAUUGAUCUAGUACAUAUAUAUAUAUAGAAAUAUUGAUGAAAGGCAUUAAUAAUUAAGGAAAGGAUCAAGCCUGUCCCUUUUUAGUCAUAUAGCAAAGGAGGCAGCAUAGGCUUCUAGCAUUUACCACUUCUGCAGCCCUAUAUCCCUAGGUGUAGAUAUGGAUACGUAAGAAUUAUGACGUCAGAGAGGACGUCAUCAUUGAAAAUAUAUAUUUUUUAAUUCAGAUAAAAAAAAACGAAUAAAUGAAUUUAAAAUGGAAAAUAAACGACAAACCGCCGACCGCCGUAUGCUUCCACACAAGACACAGUGACCCUGUCCACAGGUAAUGACGGAAACCAGGAAGGGCCAUGAAUCAGCUUGAGGUGGACGGCUGGGAUCGGGUGUGGACACGAACACCAACACAUGGGAUGUAUGGAAAAAAAAAAAAAAUGAACCCGGUCUUCGGUUGACUUUUUCGAGUCAUCCGACGACGUAAUCCAUGAUUCCGUUUGCUGACGUCAUCAUCCUUCUCGCGUCUUCCCAAAGAUAAAAAUAGAGAUAGACAGUAUUGCCACGUAGGUUACACGUAUGAACACACAUAUUUAGGUGCCGGAGCACCACGUUGUAUACGGUGUCGUUUUUGUUUUUUGCGUAAUAUUAUUAAUGUAUUAGAUUAGAUUAUGUAAAACCGCGUUAACAUCAGCAGAUUUAAAUCAGGUGGCAUGUCUUCCGCCGUUGAUUGGUGCGACAAUCCGGCGGACAGGACAGCUCCGGAAUCUACGUAAUUAUUUUUAGUUGUUGAUAGCUUAAUCAUGUAAUAAUAUUAUAUAAUUUCUCUUGUUGAACGGCAUAUUUUUCAUUGAAUUCAUUUUCUCUUUAUUCUGUGCGAUGUAUAUAUUUUCCAUUGUGUUUUUCUUAACAUUGAUAAUCAUACAUAUGCUUGCAGAGAAGUAGUGAGUAAAUACAGUAUAGAAGUGCGGGAACUAGGAUUGAGAAUAGAAGAAUUAAUAUCAGAAAGCUUGGGACUGGACAAGGAUCUGAUAAGAAAUGUGGUGGGGGAGCAAGGACAGCACAUGGCGGUCAACUAUUAUCCGCCGUGUCCUCAGCCGGAGCUGACUUACGGAUUGCCGGCUCACACCGACCCUAAUGCCCUCACCAUUUUGCUUCAAGACCUGCAAGUCAGUGGCCUCCAAGUUCUUAAAGAUGGCAAGUGGGUCGCAGUUCAUCCCCAACCCAAUGCUUUCGUCAUUAACAUCGGCGAUCAGCUCCAGGUAAUUAAUUAAUCAUUGCGUACACAUACAUACGUACAUACACACACAUAUAUAUAUAUGUAGAGAGUAUUAAUGCAUUGUGGGAUUGAUUUGAUUAUUAACAGGCGGUGAGCAAUGGAAAAUACAAGAGUGUUUGGCAUAGAGCAGUGGUGAAUUCCGACAAGGUAAGAUUGUCAAUUGCAUCUUUCCUGUGUCCGUGUGAUGAUGCAGUGAUCAGCCCACCUAAGCUGCUGACGGCGGAUGGGAGUGUAGCCAUUUACAGGGAUUUCACUUACGCAGAAUACUAUAAGAAGUUCUGGAGCAGAAACUUGGACCAAGAACAUUGUUUGGAACUCUUCAGGAACAAAUAGCCUCUUCUUUUUAAUAAUAUUCCCCGUCAUUUCCAUUUCUUUGCUUCAAUUCUCUUUUUUCUUCCUUCCUUCCUAGUUUUUCAGAUUGUUUUUUGUAUAGAUUUUGUUCUAUAUAAAAACUAAUCUAAUGAUCUAUUUUAAUCAUAAAUUAAGAAAAAAAAUCAUAGCUAUACGUACGUAUGUAUGUGCGUGUUGCUAAUUAAGUCACUCUUGGUAAUUUUAUUUUUUUUCUAUAAAAAAUUAUUACAUAUUUAUUAAUGAAUUUUAAUUAAUUACUAAACAUAUUAAUUUAUUUAAAAUUUCAAUGGGCCACUGGGCUUUAGGCCCAUCAUGGAAGUUCCUUGUUUCAUUUGGGUUGCGGCGUAAAACACGAUGAAGCCCGGCCCAACCGUCAUAGCAAGCUCAUCAUCCAUCCAUCUUUGGAAAAGUUGAACGUGAGUCAAACAAUACGACAUGUGUAUUUGUCGUUUAAUAGAUAAAAUAUAUAUGUUUUUAUAAAAAAUUAUAAGAACAUCAAUUGACAUAAACAUCACAAAGUCACAUCUUUAUUAUAAUUCUCAUCAACAAAAACCAAUUAUGAUCAAACCCAAUUCCAACAUUUCAGCCAAAAGGCCUUUGCUUUAUACUCUUUUUAUGUACCGGAGGUGACAAGACUCUUUUACACGUUCUUAAGAAACUCCAUGACAUAAGUGUCAAAAGCACUGCAAGCUACUCUGAAACCUUGGAACCCGGCUCCCUUGGCCAAUGCCUCAAAUUCCUUCUCCGUUCUUUCUUUGCCACCCGGGUUAUGCGCCAACAUGAUGCAGUCAAUAUGCACAACUAGCUUGGUGGCAAGGCUGGGAUCCGGAGCCACCGGAAGAAUGCAUUCUGCUACAAUCACCUUACCGUUGUCUGGAAGUGCUUCGUAGCAGUUCUUCAAGAAUUUCAAACAGUGAGCAUCACUCCAGUCAUGGCAGAUCCACUGCAAUUACCCACAUUGUUAAUCCAUAUGAAACUUGUGAGUUUAUUGAAAAUUGAAUUUGAAAUUUCAAGAUUCCCAGAAGACCCAUUAUAAGAGUCGGACUGACCUUCAUGAAAAUGGCAUCUGCUUUAGGAAUACUGACAAACAUAUCUCCUCCCACGUGCUCCACACCUGUAAUCAAAACCACUCAUCUCCAUCAAGCCCAAGUGAAAUUUUACUGGUUAACUCCAUUAAAAUUGUUGGGUAAGGUUAAGAAAUGUACUGGGAUAUGUGGGUGCAUCUUCAAUCACGUGGGGCAGGUCAAAGUUGAUGCCUUUAAUUGUAGGGUACUUGGUGACAAUCCUAUUGAUGGUGGCUCCGGUGCCACCUCCGACGUCGACCAGCGAGGUGAGUCCCUCGAAGCCGGUGUAGUCUUCGAGGAUUUUCUUCAUGGUAAUGGUGGAAUGAUUGGACAUUCCCAGGUUAAAAACCUUGUUGAAUCUUGGAUCUGUGCCAUGAUAAUCAAAGGCAGUCAUCCCGUAAGCCCUGUUAAAGGGAAUCCCACCUUCAAGCACUGCAUCUUUCAAGUGGUACCUGUCAAGAAACAGGGGCGAUCAAUGGAUUAAAUUUUUUCCCAAACGCGGUCUAAUUAUAUUCUCUUGUUACAAAUUAAUGAAGUGAAAAAGCGGAUAAAUAAAGAAGAUCAACAAUUGGUUCCUUCUUCACCCCAUUAAAUUCUAAGAUUAGCAUCUCUGUUUCCUCAAUUUUUGCAUUUAAAAAAAAAAAAGAUGUGGAAGUUGAUCAUUUGAACAAAAAAAGUUAAAUAAAUGGAGAAAUUAGCCAAUUACCAGCUUUCCAUGAGAACCUUAUCCUGAUUCAUGAGGCAGAGAGCAGCCAUAGACACACCAUCUUCAUUCUUCGUCAGAAACUUGCAGACCGGGCCGAGACCGUAGAGACGCUCGACUCCGCCGUCGGGGAGGUCGCGGAGCGAGCAGGUGAGGAUCGAAUAAGUCGCCAGCAAGCGCAAGAUCCGGUCAAGCAUGACCGGUGCGUCUGGGUUACUGGUAGGAAGCUGAGAAGCGAUUUCCUUUGAGGACAAGACGGCGCCAGAACCAGCUUUCGCCAUGAUUUCGAGCAGGUCGAGCUCCAAAGAGGCUUUGAGGACCAUGGGAAGAACAGAUGAGCUGGCGAGCUGCAUGGCGAAGAGGUUUGCUUCCUUGUCAGAAACUUGGGCGGGAGUCAUCUGGGUUUCUCCGGUUGAUCCCAUGUUUGAUCUGGAGAUUUUUCUGGUUUGAGUUUCUGAAGGAAGAAGAGAAAUGGGGCUGUGGUUGGCGACGAUGGAGAGACGAGUGUGGUGAUAUAUAUAUUUCUAGAUGGUAUACAGUCAGCAAGCUCACCUACUCUAAUGAGUCACUUUCCCUUAUGAUGGACCCCACUACCCACCACCUAACCCCACCUAAAUUAAUUCGGUAAUUUUUUUUAAUGGAGUUGAAGUUAAAUUUUUGUUACUUUUAUUAUUAAAAAUGUUAGUUAAAAUAUUAAUUUAUUAUUAAUAUUUUUGCAUUUUACUUAAAUUUAUAAAUUUAAAAUUCAUUAAGUACAUUAAUACUUGAUUGCAAUAACAUAUUUAUAAUAUUUAAUUUAACAAUAUUUAUAAUAAUUAAUAGUGACAUAUAUAAAAUAAUUAAUUAUUUACUUUAUUAAUAUAUACGUAGACUUCUACUUAUCAUUUUGGACUUAAUUCAAACAAAUUAUAAAAUAUUUAAAAUAAUAUUUUGUAAUAUUUAAAUUUUUUUUACCCUCUAUUUAAAUCAUGAUAAAUAAUAGAAUUUUAAUAUAUAAUAUUUUACAGUCGUAAAAAAAUUAUGUUUGUUUCAACUUUCAAUGUUAACAAAUAAUAUUUAAGUGGUAAAAUUUGGGAUGAAUUUUUAAACCACCAAAUUUGUGGUAUUUGAUGAACAUUUUAUUUGUUUACCAUUAUAUCAUAAUAUAAUAUAAUUAAUUAUAUAUGUAUACUGAUAAUUAAAAAUUUAUUAAAAUAAUAUAAUAAUAUAAAUAAUAAUUAUUUAUUUUAUUAAAUAUAAAAUUUUAAUUUUAUUAUGUAUAAUAAUUAUUUAUUUAAAUAUAAAUAUAAUUAUAUUAAUAAAUAAUUUUUAUUUUUUUAUAUUAUUUAUUAUUAUAUAUGAUAUAUAAAGAUAAAUUAAUAAUUUAAUUAAAAAUAUAAUUAUUUUAUCGUAUCGUUUAAAUAAAAAUAUGUCAUUAACAUACAUUAAUAUAUCAUCAUCUAAACAUAAAAAAAUUUAACAUUAUAAUUAUAUGUUAUUGUUAUUUAAUUAAUAUUAUUAUUAUAUAUUAAUUAAUUAUCACUAAAUUUAUUCAAAAAAUAAUAAUCACAACCAAAUUAUUGUCAGGUAGGAAAGAGGUGCACAUGCACUGUACUUGGGAUUUGGCUACCAUACAAUUAAAUAAGUUGGUACGCAUCAUUAAACAAAAAACUAGACAUAAGUUUCUUGAUAGGUGGGUCCCAACCACUAGGUUUGUUGAAUGGUGGAGCCCACACCUUUGGUAUACUAAUAUUUUAUUACUAAUAAUAUAUAUUGGAUAAACUUAUUUAUAUAUUUACUGCUUAAAUUGGUCAAAAGAGGCGGAAUUUUUUUUUUUUUUAUAUAUUUUGAUUUCAAUUAGUGCGGGAGUCACGUGGUAUUUGUUAGUAUAUUAUAUAAAUACGACAAACACGACGGCGUUUCAUUAUCUUAUAUUAUGAUUAUUAUAUUAUUAAUUAUAAGGUGGUUGGUAAGAGUGAGUCUGAGGUGUAAAAUUCUGAUUGGCUAACAAAUUUGGCUGCUCGGGCUUCGUAGUCUCGUUUUGACCAGUCAAUAACAUCUCACCCACUAUUUCCUCCUCCGCACCGCACCACACCUCGUGCACCUUUUUUUUUAAAAAAAAAAAAAAUCAAAUAGAAGUUAAAUUAAAAUUAUACUAUUUGUGUAGUUAUAAAAUAUAAUAUAAACAUUAUUAUAUAUGAGUAAACUUAUACUGAAAUAAAUAUAUUUUUAAUAAAAAUAUAAAAAUUAUCAUAUUUAAAUUUUUAGUAAAAAUUUACAUAAAUAAAUUAAAUAUGAUAAAAACGUGUGACUAAUAACUUAUCUAGUAUAUAAUUUCAAAAUCUAUGACAAUAUUUUAUUUUAUUUUUUUAAAACUACAUGGAGAUAUGUCUUUCUCAAAAUUUAUUAUUAUUUUUUAAAAUAAAUAAUUAAAUAAUAUUUUAUCUCAAAUUAAAUAUAAAAUAUCUGUAGAGAUAUUAUCUCAAAAAUAUAAAUAUAAAUAUAAAUAUAUAUAUAUAUAUAUAGAUUAUCUUGUUUAGAAAUAUAAUGAAAAAAAACAUCGUGUAUAAGACAUAAGAUAGUUUUACAAUCAUCAACAACAAAUUUGAAUUCAUAGUAAUAUUUUUCUUUGGACAUAAACACUGCAUGCACUAAUUGAGCAUUAGUCUCAUUCACCCUUGGACCUUGAAUAUUUACGACAACGAAAGAGAGUGCACUCCGGCAUCCUAACAACUCCUCAAAUAAAGGAUAUCGACACCCUUAAAAUUUCAUAGAGAAUAUACUGAUUACGUUCUCCUCAAAUAAUUGUCAUAAAUCUAGCAUCGUUGAUUGAAUUAUUAACCGUUCCGUCCACAUUAUAUGUCCAUAGCCCUUGGUCCGUAUUCCACUCGAUUUCUAUUUUUAUCUUUAAUUUUUUUAAAAAAUAAUUAUUAUAUAUUUUAUAAUUAAACGAUAAAUAACCAUUGUUUUUAUUUUAAUAUAUUUAUAAUUAUUUUUAUAUUAUAAAAAUAAAAUAUAUAAUUAUUAUAUUUUAAUUAUAUUAAAUAUAAAAUUAUUUCAAAAAAUGAAAAAUUGACACAUGUCAGUUCCUGGUAUUCCUUAUAUGUAUAUGUGUGUGUGUGUGUGUUAAUUGAUAUAUUGAUUAUGUAAGCAUGAGUUUGAGUCCAAUUAUAAUUAUAAAUGGGUUUAUUAAUUUAAAAAAAAUCUUUAACAUUGAAAUGGUAUUUUAAAUAGAUAUUAUAAGCUAGUUUGACAGUAUGGAAUCUUGGACUGCGACCUGCGAGAACGACGUCGUAGGACUGUGGCACCACUCCCCUUCCUAUCCAAGCAGCUUCCUUCCUCACUUCAUACGUUACUUGUUUUCUCACCUUUUAUCUUUAUAACUAUAUACUCUCAAACACUCAAGUUCAUGUACUUAUUUUCAACGUACAUAUUUUAUUUAUACAAUAAAAUUCAUAUGAUAAAUACUUAUAUAACGUAGAUGGUGGCCAAACUAACCUAACCAUAUUACUUUUAUUUUUAGAGCUCCUAAUUGAUGAAUUUUUUGUUGAAUUUUUUUUUUGUUGGUUUAAUAAAUGAGUUUAAUGUAUACUUUUUUACUAUUUGUAACAUGUAACGAUUCUGAAAAUUCAAAAUGAAAUAUAUAAUAAUUUAAGUGCGGAAACGAAAUAAAAAAUUAAGAUUUAUAUUCCUUAUAAAAUAAUUUAAAAAUACUAAAUAAAUAUUACAUAAUGAAUUUUUUGAAAGAAACACGAGAAAUACGAAAAAUAAUAGAAAAUAAAAAGUAUUUAACAUCUACUCGCAAUCUUCAUGCAGAUUGGACUCUGUAACCAGGUUCUCUUGAUUUGAAAUGAUUAAAUAAAUGAUGAGUUACACUAACCCAGUAAAAAUAUCACACUAUAUCACCGGCACAAAAAUAAAGGUUGAUAGAAAAUUAAAAUAACUAAUAGAGCACUAAAUUUAGUAAAUUCGUUUAUCAAUCAUAAAAUCAUUUACCGUUCACUUACCAUUGUAGAAUUUAUAAAAAUAACCUAUAGAGACAAUAAUAUCAUACAGAUCAUAACUUCAUGUACAAUCAGUAAUAUAGAACAUAUCAUAAAUUCAUAUUCAUUAACAAUAAACAAAAUCAUAAUCAUUUCUCCUUUCACCAGCCUACUAGUAUCCAUGGGGGUUCAUAAGGGUAUCCCCAUUACACGUGAACCAUUUUCCUUAACAAUCUCAAUUACAGGGCUAUACACAUACCCCGUCCGGUAUGAGCACCAAAACAUUAAACCUCAAUAUCCCAUCCGGUAUGAGGGUGAAGAGGAUUGUUCCCAUACCUCGUCCAGUAUGAGACAACGUUCACGGUAGAGUUUCCUAUGAACCCAGUCCGUCCACCAUCUCCCAGUAUAUCUAGUGAGACUGUCAUCCUAUCUGUUUAUUUGAUCACAUCAAUUUCUUAUUUUUCCUUAGUCUCCGUUACCAAAUCAAAUAUAAUCACAUAAAUAAAUAAACAUGCAUCUGGUAAUGCAAUCAUGUCUUAAAUCCCAAAAUCAAAUAGUGGUCAGGUAAGACAGUAAUACAUGCAUUUAAACUAUAAAGUAUAUAAGCCAUAUACCAUCAUGCUUUUAGAUUGUAAAAUAAAUCAACAGAGAAUAAUGUCCGAUUCGGGCUCCAUUAGCAAUCGAUAAUUAAUUAUACAAAUUUAUUUAAUUUGUACAAAAUACCAUAUUAUUAUUUAUUCAAACUUCAAAUUUAUGAUGAGAAAUACGGUAAGGGGUCAUUACUUGAUUUGACAUCGAAAAAGUAAAUAGUUUACUGCAUUUACGGGCGGUUAUUGGGUUCCAUAAAUUUUUAUUCGGAAAUUGAAACGUGCUUAUAGUACUUACAAAUGUCCUAAAUAAACCCAAAAAUUAAUCUCCGGGUCUAUUCGGCUAAUUUCAGAAAUCCAGCACGCGGCUCCGCCCUGUUUCGGGGAGGGCGCCGCCACUCGGGGUGGCGGUCCGCCUCGGAUCGACUGUUUUUGGUUGAAUUUGGUCGAUUUUGUAGCACCCGGAAAGGAGGAGGAAAAAAAAAAAAGCCACAUCAGCAGCCACGUCAGCAGGCCCGGUCAGCAGUCCCGGCCAACCAGGACAUGCCACGUGACAAUACCACGUCGUUCCAGAAAGGGCCACGUUGGCAAUCCGCGUGGGCGCGAUUGGACGGCCCAGAUCAGGCGGACGAUCGGACGACCCAGAUCUAAUCACACGGACGGCCCAAAUUUAAUCAAAAACGGACGGCCCAGAUUAAAUCAAAAUGGACGGCUGAGAUCAAAGGGCAAGAGGUUAUAAAGAGAACCCCCACACCAGACCACAAACCCUAGCCGCCUGCCGCUCGCCGGAGAAGACGAACCAGAAGCCGGCCGCCGCCACCCGCCGCCGUACCGAAGGAAUUUCCGACCGCCGAUCGAGGUAAAUUUCGUACCCCCGACUCGUUUUUCCACGCUGAUUCCUCCUGUGGUCAAAUCGGAGCCAAAAUCUCGGCCAAACGGCCGGAAUACGCGGCCGAAGCCCAGCGGCGCCGCCGCGCCCCUUCUCAGUUUUUACCUCCGAUGAGGCCCUUCCCGGCCUCCGUUUGAUGCAAUUUUUAUAUCACCGUGAUCACCAUUCUUUUCUCUACAGGUUGACCGGAGCCGAAUCACCAAAAUACGAACCUCGCCGGAGAGCCGCCGCACCCGAGAGCGCCGCCGCCGGUAAGCUCCAUUUUUCCGUGAUUUUUUGGCCCCCCGAGGGCCCUAGGGUUGUUUUCUCACAGGGACUGAUGCGAGUGUGGCCGAAUUCGGCCAAAAACGGCUGAAAACAGCUAACUCGAGGCGACUCGCCGCCGCCAGCGGCGGCGCCAUCGCCGGAGCACGGCGGAGCCGCCGUGCCGGAGUUGUGAUUUGGGCCGAAAGAGGCCCUGGGCCUAAUUUGGGUUUUUUUUUGAACACGUGCAGGUACCAGUAGUGCGUUUCAGUUCCCCGAGGAAAAUUCAGGGAAAAUUAGGGACAGCCUGCAAGCGCACUGUGAAGCCGUGUUCGGACCCCGAAACGAGUAAGGACCCCUCACCCUAUUUCCUAUCACGGUAUUAAAGUUCAAAAUGAUAAAACGGUAUUUCUUGAAUUAACGAAUGUGUGAAAUUGCUUAAGGUGGCUAAUGGAGCCCGAGUCUAGUGUGAUUGGUGAUUUACUGUUAUUUGACCUGUUUACAGCUUUAAAUGCAAAAUGAGGUGUGAUGUGUUCAUUUUACAGAUUUGUGUGCAUAUACUACGUUUUUAUUAAUUAUGGAUUGAAUGACUGAAAAACUGAUACUGUAUGUUGUCUGUUUGGCAUGAAUUACGAUUUGCUUGUUUAAAUGUGAAUUGAUGAUGCUGACUGAGGAAAAGAAAAAUGAAAGAUUGUGUAGACUGAUAAUUGUAUUAUGGGGGUCAGCCUAACUAGAUAUCCUGGGAGAUGGUGGACGGACCGGGUCCGUAGGGAACCCUACCGGAAUUGUGGUCUCACAUGCCGGACGGGGUAUGGAGAUCUUAUGGUUUUGGCGCCCAUACCGGACGGGGUAUGGGGACGGCCCGUUUCACCCUCAUACCGGACGGGGUAUUGAGGUUUAUGGUUUUGGCGCCCAUACCGGACGGGGUAUGGGGACGGUCCUGGAAACUGAUUAUGAAUGUUAAAGGUUAAUGGGUAGCGGGACCCCUAUGGACCCCCACGGAUACUAGUAGGCUGGUAAAUGAGAAAAAGAUAUGUUGUACAAUGAUUGAAUUACAAGAGGCGUGAUAAGUGUUAUGUUUUACAGCUUAUAUUAUUCCAUGAUUAUGAUAAUGUUAUUGUUUUCUUAUAUUGUUUUCAUAAAUUCCACCGAGGUAAGUGGAUGGUAAAGGUUUUUAUGUUAAUAAGCAAGUUUAUUGUAAAUUAUGCUCCAUUGGUCUUUUUGUGUUUUCUACCCACCUUUACCUCCGUGACGGUGAGAUAUCGUGAUGUUCUUACUGGGUUAGUGUAGCUCACUCCUUAUUUAACCAUUUCAGAUCAGGAAGACAUGGUUCCCGAGCCCGUUCCGCAGGAGGACGACGAAAGGGAUGCCUAGAGACUCUGUAGUCAUGCUCAUAGCUUUGUUUUCGAGUUUCUCUUUUAGUUAGUUUAACCUUUUAUAAUUUAAGUACGUUUUUGGUUUUCGUGUAAGGGAUGUUAACUGAAAUUUUGAUCUCGCUUCCGCAUUUGAUAUAUUUAAAUACUCAUUUCAUUUUAAUAUUUCCGGGGCCGUUACAGAUUUUAUAUCGAUUCCUGCGAGCACACAAACUAAAGAGCCUCGGUGAGCCGAAAAAAUAGGAAAAAUCAAAACUAUCUGGUGCAGCAGCUCAUCUGGCUCAUGUUGCGGUUGGGUGUUUCACUUCGGUCAACCUGUAGAAAAGAAAACGGUGAUCACAACGGUGAAAAAAUUACGCGAAACGAGAAUCGGAAAGGGUCUCAUCGGAGAUGGUUUGUGAAAUUCUCCGCGGCAGCAGCGGCGGGCUUUAGCAGUCUUUUCCGGCCAAUUGGCUGGUUCUUUCACUCUGAUUUAGCCAUGGGUGGGUUUAAAUUUGGAUUUCGUGCAAACCUUUUCCGAUCGCGAAAAAAAUGUAAAAAAAAUUUUUUUACCUUUUUUUCGCGAUCGGAAAAGGUUUCGGUGCUGCGGUGGGUAGUGGCGGUCGGCUCCCCGGCAACUGGGUUGUCUUCUUUGCUAGGGUUUGGGUUUGGGUGCGUAUGAGGUUAUUCAUACCCAUACGCUUUUGAUAUGAACCGUCAAUUACUUUUAAUAUGGACCGUCCGAUUAUGAUUAAAUAUAGAGUGAAUCUGAAUUGUUCAUUGUGAUUCAAUCUGAGCCGUUCGUGAGCUCGUGCGCGUGGGAACGAACCUCAGUUGUUCGAUCGCGCACACGUAGAUCGCCCACAUGGCCUCCCGCGUCAGCACUUCUGCCACUUGGCAUAUCCUGGUUGGUCGGGGCUGCUGAUCGGGCGUUUGACGUAGUGCAAUUUUUUUAAAUUACAUUUUGACUCUCAGUUUCUGAUUUUUCUUUAAAAAAUAUCAUCAGAAUCUAAAAUUUCACUAUUUUUUCCCAAAAUUAUUUUCAAUUUAAUCUUUUAUCAAUUUAUUUAAUUUUUUUCCAUUAAAUUAAAAUAAAAUAAUAUACAAAUAAAAUAAUUAAAAAAUUAUAUUUAUUAAUUAAAAAAAAAAGAAAUUUUAGGUGGGUAUUACAUAACAUGCUAUUUAUUUAUAAACCCGGUUUAAAAUGAUCGAAUACGGUUAAAUUGAAUUGAGUAUUAAUGCAUGGGACUUAGAUAUAUGCUUAAUAUGUGCGGACAUCAUUUUUAUAAUUUUUUAUUUUUUGAUGAAUAAAAUGAGAAAUGCAAAAGUAUGUCGAUAUAAAUAGGCAUUUAUAAUUCUCGAAUCACACGCGCGUCAUUUUAUUUUUUUAAAAUUCAGUCACUAAAAAAAAAUAAUUUUUGAGAUUGUGUGUUGAUUCAGAAGCAUCUAACCUAUGAAGCAAUCAAAUCUUCUUGCAUGUUUAGAUUUAUCAUAUCAUGAUUUAAUUUGAAAAAGUUUUCUAAUAUCUUUUAUUUUAUAUAAAUUGUGAAUAUGAUUGAAACUGUAAUAUCUUAUUUAUAAAUAUGUGAUAUUAACUAAUUAAAAAUGUAGUUUUAAUUGAAAUUUUACACAAUUUAAUUGAGAUUAUUAUAUAUAAAAAAUAAAAAUUGCACCUAAAAACUGAGGGAUUCUUGCACACAAAAUAAUUGAUUAUAGUUAAAAUACACACAGCAAUUAAUGUAUAAUUUAUUAUUAUUUUAUAAUUAAAAUUUUAAUUGGACUGCAGUCAAAUAUAAUAACGGGCUUCAGUCUAUUACAAGGGAGAAGAAAGCUUUAGCCUUUUAAGCCUUCUUCGUUCACGGGCUCUAUAAUAACGGGGUUCAAAACCAGACCCAACAAUGGAGGAUGAAAGAAUCCAGAACAAGUCCAAUAUAAAAUCAGAAACCCUUAAUUCCUUAUCAUCGCCGAACUCCACGCCAACUCUUUCUCACUCUCCAUUUAUUAUCCCUCUACACAACGAACCUUAGAACUCAGCCAUGUCGCCCGCUCCAGCUGUUGAAGCCGCCGACCUUCAGAUUCCUAUCACAGACGAGCCGGAGAAGAAACCUCAGCAUCUGGUAUUGCAUGCAUGAUGGUUUCUGUUUUUUUUUUUUUUUUUAAAUGUAUUAAAACAUGUUUUUUUUAUUGUCUGAUGGUUUUGUCCGCGAAAUGACUUGCAGAGCGAUGAACCCGUGGUUGAGGACGUAAAGGACGACGAUAAGGACGAGGAUGACGACGAAGAUGACGACGAUGAAGAUGACGACGAGAAAGUAGAUGGAGCACAAGGUCCUUCCUUUCCCCUUUACAUUUUAGGUUUUUGCUUCGAUUGUCUUGUUCGUUAUGGGUAUUGUACGUUGUCUCUUCAUAUAAUUUUUUUUAGAAUGAUUAUCUGAUUCUUGUAUACGGCAGAACAUAGGUUCCUCUGGAUCUAUCUGGAUGUUGAUGUUAUUUCACUGGGUUUACUGUCAAUUUGUUAGGGCAUUUUCCUGGAAAAUUAACUAGAAACUUAUCACGUUUGCUAUUAGGUCAAGAAGGAAUUUGGGUUUAAAUUUUGUUUCUGAAAAGAGUGUGGUGAACAUGGAUUUUUUUUUUUUUUUUUUUGCGCUUUGGUUAUUGUUUAACUUCAUUGCUUAGGAGCUGCAGCAUUAUGGAAAUUCACUUGCUUAUGGACAUAAGAACUGUUAUCGAAUUGAAAGUUAUCUUAUUUGCGAGAAUUAAGGUUCUGCCUUGCCUUUUGCUAUCUUUAAGCUUCAUAUCUUCAAAUAAGUCAUCAUGCUAUGGCUCGUCUUGGGGGUUUUUCUUUAGCUGCAUAGAUUUCAUUGGUUGAAUUGGAUGUAUUUCAACUUGUUUGUAGCAAUUUUAAUGUGUCAGUCCUAACAGGGUUUUUUGGAGAAGUAAAUUCUUCCAAGUUUUUCUCUCGUUAUUUCUUUAGUUCAUUUUCAGUCAUGAUAACAGAGGAUGUGUGAUUUUUCGGACUUGUUUCGCCACAGACACUGCAAUCAUCAACUGUUUUGUAAUUUGAAGUUCAUAUAUUCUAACACAUGAGAAAUGAUAUAUUUUGUGUUUCUGUCUUUUUUUCCAAAUACAUGCUUUGAAAAGUAGUCUUGUUGCCAUUUUUAGUUGCAAUUGCCACCUUUUAUGUUUUGUUUCGAGCUGUCUUUUUACUCGACAAAUUGGGUACAGGUGCAAAUGGGAGUUCGAAGCAGAGCAGAAGUGAGAAAAAAAGUCGGAAGGCAAUGUUGAAGCUUGGCAUGAAACCUGUCACUGGCGUUAGCAGGGUGACAAUUAAGAGAACAAAAAACGUUAGGCUUCGGUUUUGAUAUGAUAUUUUUUAUGGCUUACCUGAAUGUUUUAUCUUGCAAGAACUAAGGUGAUUUCCUGGACCUGUAGAUCUUGUUUUUCAUUUCAAAACCCGAUGUCUUCAAGAGCCCACAUUCCGAGACUUAUAUCAUAUUUGGAGAGGCUAAGAUAGAGGACCUGAGUUCUCAGCUGCAGACGCAGGCUGCUCAGCAGUUCAGGAUGCCAGACAUGGGAUCUUCUCUCCCAAAAUCAGAUGCUUCUGGUGCUGCUGCUGGACAAGCCGAUGAGGAAGAGGAGGAAUUUGACGAAACUGGCGUGGAGCCUCGUGAUGUUGAUUUGGUUAUGACACAGGCAGGCGUUUCGAGAAGCAAGGCUGUAAGGGCUCUCAAGAAUCACGAUGGAGAUAUUGUUAGUGCCAUCAUGGAACUUACUACUUAGGGAGCUCUCAUGCUGUUCUGCAGAUGCAUGAAUUUUUUGAACUAAUCUCAAAAAUUGAGUCACCAUAGUUAGGUUAUUUUCGGUUGAUGAGUAAUCCUUGUCAUUUUUAAUUUCCUGACUUUGUGCUUCGAUACUUCACGGGCAAUUAAUUAUUCAACAUUUCACUAGGGUUUUGUGAUGAUGCAAGGGUUCCAUCAUUUUCGUGUUCUAUCUUGUCAUGAAGGAACCGGAAUCACUAACUAAAGUUGGCAGAGAAAGAUCUGAUGAUAUGUAUAUAUAUAUUGAUGUGUGUAUUUAUGUAUUUUAUUCUCCUUUUCCUAUUACAGAAUACUAGUCAUUACCAUUUUAAAUAAAACCCAGUGGGUUGGAUCUCCCCGUUCUCUCUACUCUCUAACUAGCCGUUCACCACUCUGCAAUGUGCUCGAAUCUCUCCUGCGGCCCCCGUCAAGAUAUCAAGCUGGCCCAUCUUGACCAUUGCCGCUGCAAAUUUCGUCCUCCAAAGCAGGGCGUUCCUGGCAUUUUGGUGGACUUGAGUUGCUGUUGCAGGGCUUGUGAGCAGCGUAGCAUCUGAGGUGAACAAGCUCCGGUUUGCCAGCACAUCCGCGUAGUAGGCUGUGUCGGUCACUACCGGGGUAGCUGGGUUCAUGUUUACCACCACGUUUGGAUUGGUGCUCUUUUGCGGACACUGCUUCUUCAAUUGAGCUGCGUAAAUUGUGUCCAGACUCGGGUCCUGCUUAUUCGUGCCGCUGAAAUUGUAAAGUCUGGCACUGAAUGAUGUGCAGUGAGCUCGCCCUAUGGUGUGCGCUCCUGUAUAACACAUGUAUAUAUUACCUCAGAUACGUAUUUAAAACAUAUACAUGUAUGUAUACACUGCAUGUAGUAAUUACCAGAGAGAGUAACCAUUUCUUCCUGGGUGAAACCCUUGCUGGCAAAGAGUUGAGUGAGUUGAUUAAGGUUAAAAGUUGGGGGAGGUAAGAUUCGUGUUUCUGAAGCUACAGAAAUCCUGCCGUCUCUUCUUCCCGCUGGAACAUCAUAAACAGGCCCUCCUGUCUACACCAAAGAAAACGAUAUAAAAAUUGAUUUAUACAACAAUUAGUAAAUAAAAACAAAGAAAAUUAUAAUUCAGAGAGUAUUAAGUAAAAAAUAGUUCUUACAAUCUGGAUACUAUCUCUUGCGGCGAAAGCAAUAAUAUCAGCACAUGAAACAACUCCUCGACAAACAGCUUCAAGUCUAGUCUUGACACUAUCUAUGACUUCAAUUCCUCGAAGACUCGGAUUAUUGACAGGUGAGUCUUUCUCUGCCUUGUUCGUAGAAGUCGAGUCGAUAAGCACCGAGCCAUCGCAGCCCUGAUUUAAUCAUACAACAAAGAUCGUUAAAAACCAAGAAGAUCUAAAUUUUCAACUACAAGGUUGAGAGCGAAAAACUUAUUUGUCUCGAAAGUACUUACUCUAACAAAACAAUCAUGAAAGUGCAUUCUAACGAGUCCAGCUGCUAUUCCUUUGUCCUUAACAAAUGCUCUUUGAACUUCAUCCUUAACGAUAAACUCGACUCGGCCACAUGAAUUUUGAUAGAAUCCAACCCUGAGCUGACUCAAAACAUUUUGUAGGCUACAAAUUAUCACAAUAGCAGCCAAAGUUACCACUGCUCCAUUGUUACUCUUCUUCCCACUCAUUCUUUUGAAUUGGUACCCUUCAAUUCUAACUUGGUUAAUCACUUCCCAAUGUUUACCUUAACCCAUGAUCAAACUGCUAUUACGCAAAUUUAUAGUUGAAUUUAGGCAUUAAUUUAUGGAAUUGAGUGUCCCACUUAAAAUUUAGAGAUCACCUUAAUAAGUCAAUUUGAUUUAGUAGGGAAAUAUAUAGUCUUCUAGAUUGUUGUUAGUGACUAGAGCAUUAAAUUUGAUUGGUAAUUAUUAAUUAGUGUUUAAUUAAGCAGUUAACAUAUUAUUAUUUAUUCUAUAAGAAGUCAGCAGGUUAGUACAUUUUUUUUCUUUAUAAUAAAGUAGGUUUGAAUUAGAUUCCAUUUCUGUAUGUGUUCUUGUUUUGAGGUUAUUUCUAUUGUAUUAUACUUGUUGUGUAUAUAUAUAUAUAUAUUUAUCACCUUAUUAAGUAAAAGUUACUUGGUAACGUCUCUUUUGAUUGGCAGAGUCGAUUUGAUGACAAUUUGAUGUUAUAUAAAACACACUACUACAUAGUCCCAAAACCAGCAGAAUUUACGGUGGGGGAGUUGGAUAUAAGCAGGAUGUUCGAGUCAACCUCAGGCCACUGUAGCUUCCAAAUAAAUCCAAUCAUCUCAGGAGUUGUUUGGAGGUGAAUCGGAUCAAUUAAUUUCUGCGUUGAAAGUAUGUGAAAUUUUUAUAUUAUGUAUAAGAGUGGUUUCACCUGAUAGUCUUUCUGGUACAUGUAUUUCCAAAUAUUUAACAAAGAAUGCUGAUGCAUCAGCAUCUUGACUUGGCAUACCCUAACAAUUGAAAUUGAAUCCAUCCAGGAAAAUCCAAGAUUUGGGUACAAGGUCAAUUUAGGAAAUCCAACAAACUGAUUGAAAAUAUAUCAAUAUAUCUAACCCAAGUUGGUUUCUGGUUCAUCCCUAAAAAUUGUCUGACAAAUUAUACAGAAACUAUCAAUCAACAACUGAAUAUGGUUGAUAAUUUUCAGAUGAUAUCGCAAACAUGGUUAUGAUUUGUGUGUGUGUGCGUGUAAGCACAAUGGAUCAGCCACCAACAUCAAAAGCUAACAAGUAAUGGAAAAAAGGGACUAAAAUAAUCAGAUAACGUUUCAGCCAAUUCAAAUAAGUAGCAAAAUGGUUAAACAAGUCUAUGGAAAAACAAGUUUCUGGACAAGAUAAUCCCUUAUUGAGUUUUCCCAAAGUCUGGUAACUACCUCCUUCUACACAUGCUCCCAAUCAGAUGAAGAGCCAUCAUAAAUCCCUGGACAAGAAGAAACUUGACUCCCCAACAUGUUGGUUCUGUAAGGUUGGACCAUGGCGUCGUCCUUAACAUGAAGAUAGAACUCUUUCACGGUUAACUCAUCCUCAAGAUAGUUGGCAACUUCACUUUCGGAGACAGGUUGCGUUCUUCUUUCAGAAGUUUGCCCUUCUUCUCUGUCCUUAACUUUUUCCUCCUCGAGACACUUGAAGAUUGACCAAUGUGUUAUGUCACAUGCAAAACUCGGGCCAGGACCUUCUUGCAUUUGUUGCUGUUCCGCAUUAAUGGAACUUGAAGUUUCAUCGCGGAGCUUCAGGAUAUUGAAUCUAGCCAUAGCCAGAGCAUCAACAUCAUCCAAUUGACUGGUUCUGCUUGAAACAGGGAAAUCCUGGAUGAUAUCUGCAGUGGGACUACCCUUAAUUUUCUCAGUCGAAAGAUUUUCAACCUUGUCCAAGUCAGAAGAAACUUUGGACCAUGAGUCGUUUUCUGUGUCUACAUCAUCCACAGAAUUUGGGCUGUUAAUCUGGAGUUUUAAGAAAUCAUUAAAAUCUAAGUUGAUGCCAGCUCUGUCCCUAGGCUCUGAUUUUCCAACCAAGUCUGGCUCAGGGGAGUCCUUUGAGAUUAUUAACUUGCCUUCUUCAAUGGCAUUCAUGGACAUCGAUUCGUGAACCUUAAAUCCAGUCAUAAGAUCUGUCAUCUGGCUGCCUGCACCUAUGGCAACAGAAUCCUGAACAGAAGAAUCAGCAGCCCUGCUACACCUCACAACAGCUUCUAAAUUUUCAAAUGUGUUUGAACCAGGAGGUAGCUUAGACCUUGAUGGUGACUCUGCAUCUGUAGACUUUUCUGAAAAUUUUGAACAGGACAACAUUAAAUGCAAGUUAUAUAGCAGGAUUUUGCAGUAAAGUUUUAAGAUUUUAAUUGAAACAAAAUGGAUUGAAUAACGAUUUUGCUUAAGGUUGCAACCUUCUGUCAUUUGCAAUUGUCCUUUUUCCAUCUCUGUCUUCAUUCGAGUAAAGCGAGCCAUGUAAGUGAUAGAACAUAACGCAGCUUCCGCCUCCAGCCAAAGAUUCUUAUAGAGAAGAACUUGAGGAUGAGUUUCCUCUUCAUCAGGAAAAUUUUCAAUAAGAACUUUCUUUAUAGCCUGAAAAUUAUUAUGAUCCGUUAUAUGACCUUUCUGCUUCCAGAAAGAGGAAAUAUUGAUAUAUAAUCAAUAAAAAAGAAAAAAGAAAAACCAAAGUAAUAAGCACCUGGGUCAUGUUAUCAUUUUUCACCUCUUCUGCAUCAGCAGAAACACCAUGAUGAUUUUUUACCUCCUGGGAACUCUGUUUGUGGAACUUACCCGGAACACAAGCUGCAGCUACCUUUGACAUCUGAGGAUUAAACAUACGUUGACCCUCAAGACAAUAAUAUUUAAUGUAAGGCAAAAUACUGAACCGUUAUGAAAUAAAAUUUUUAACUCCAGUAAAAUAAAUCUUAUUUUAGGGGACAGAAUUGAUUUUGACAGAAAGAAGUAUCAAAGAGAAAUCUGCAGCAGCAGACUGAAAAGGGCUAUACUAGUAAAAAUUCAAUACCAAGUAAUGAACUAAUUCCAACUCCGUGAUUCUAUCUACACGAAAAGGAAAAAUUGUGAAUGUAGACCUUAACGCCACAAUUUACCUUCUUCUGAAUUCUCUUGGAAUAUCCAAGAAGGCUGCAAAUUAUCUUCAUUGAAUGACUUGUUGGGUAGGGUAUCACAUUUACUCAGUUCAACAUCAUCAGAAGAUUGAGUCACAAAAAUAGAGCUUGGUUCUGCCUGGUUGGAUCCCACUUUCAUAGCAUCAUUCGGUCCAUGUUCUCUAGAUGAAAAACUAGAAGUCGAAGGUCUAUUUGAAGGAGAUGCUAAACUGUUGUACAGACACUUACUUUUAUGGGCAACAGAAUCUUCACUUGGAUUCAGUGAGGAGGUUUUUGCAGCAUCAUCAAUAUUAAGAGGACAAAAUGGGGGACCUUGGUGAUUGUAGCUGUUGGAACCUUCUAGCUUUUUUGUAAGCUGUAAAGUAGAAAGUUCAAGAACGUCAAGUGAUCUAUAGUGAGGAACAGGAGCUCCUUUCCAGCACGGUGAAUCCAAAUGAGGGAUAUAAUGAUCUAAAUGUUUGGAAGGAUUUUCAUCUCGAUUGAUGGUUUUAUCAUCAUCAAGUGCCCAAGCCAACUCAUCAGUACAAAUAUUAGAAUCUUGAAAGCCAGAUGUUUCUCCAAAGAAAUGAUCCAAUGCAUCCUUGCAAAUGCUUCUUUCUUGCAGGUCAUUGUCUGUUGAGGGACUUUUGGCAAAGAUGCGAUCAGUUCCUUCCAAUUGAAUGCAAUGCUGGCUUGAAGGAAAAAAAUAUUUUUCCUCAAAGCUUGGAGAACUAAAAGAUUCCUUCCAAUUAUGUUGAUCACAAGCAAAAUUCAUAUAAACUUUGUCACUGCCGCCAUUUCCAUUUUUAACCGAACUUAUCUUUUCUAUUGGUUCUGAGGAACAGGUGGCACUACCUGGCGGCACCAGCCCAGGGGCAAACUUCAUUGACAGGAUGCUAUUGUUUGGAUUAUUGCCCGGAUGUUUCAUACCUUUCUCAUAUGAACCACUGUAUGUGACUUGAUUGACCCUGGAAUCAAUUUGUUUUAGAGAUGGUUCCAAUGGACAGCUUUCAGGAAGUACUGAAGCAGAUCCUGAAAUUGGGGUUUUCAAAUAAUCAAAAGCCAUCAACCCAGUCCUUUUCUCUGGGACAGACUUAAAAUCUUGAUGUCCAGGAAUAGCACACUCGAUAGGGUUUUCACUAAGAUGGCCACCGUGAGAAGUUUCUCCAUAGUUGUUUAGGCCAUUGGAUGCAUAAGCCCCUGCACAGUAUUGGCUAAUAAUCUUACACAAACUUAAAUUUUUCUUUUGAUUUCUCCAUUAAAUUUACCGUUUAUAAACAAUCUUUAAGAAAGACAAAAAGAAUAAGUGAAAAAAGUAAUGAAAUACAAUGGAAAAAACAUAAUAAAAUACACCGGAGUGGUUUGGGUGAAAGUGAAGCCUAAUUUUUUGAAAAUCAUUUAGGAGGCAGAAUUCUGAAAGUCUCUCCAUGAAUGCCUUUCAGUUUACAUGUCAACUGAUACUCUGUCAGUCGAGACCUUCUUUCCAUUCUUGCAUUGGACGUGACUUUAAAAGAAUGAGGGUAAUGAAGAUUGGCAAUUUAUUUAUUUACAGAUAGUUAAUAGAGAAAAAAUUUAGUGGUACCAAUCAGUUACAAAUUAUAGAGGGUGAUGGUGGUAUAUGUGUUCAACGAUUCAAAAUAUAGAAUGUUUGGGUUAUUUUUUAGUCAAAAUCAGAAGUUAUAGCAGAAGUACGAAAUACCAUCCUAAUGCACAAGCCAUACCCACUCGGAUACGAGAGAGGUUGAUGGAACUAAUUAACUAACAAGCACUCCAGGGACAAAAUUGGCAUAAAGAUGAUGAAGCAAUCAAUAUAAGCAAAGAGAAUAUUAAACAUCAUCCAUGAAAGUAAUCACAAACAAAACCCAUAAACUUAUAUAUGAACAUUUAUGCUUUAUAAAGAAGUUAGAUGUACCUAAGUCCAAAUGGUCCUUGUAAACAGAUGUAGCAGCAGGAUUGACCUCCCUGGAUCCAGAACUCCCAGCAAGUUUCAGUCCCUGCCCCUGCUCCAGACCUGGCAAUCCAUUCCAGAUGCCACUCCAACUACCUGUAUGAGGCAAAGUGGCGAAGCUUGGAGUAGAGUCAUUGUUGGAUAACCCCUUGAAAAAAGGGAUAUUUGGAGGAGACAAUGCAUCAUAAAAUCCAGGGAAGGUAGUUGGGACAUAUGAUGGAUAGUAGGGUUUGGCAUCUGUAAAAUCACUAGCCAUGGCAUUGGAACGUUGAGUGCCAUAAGAGAAAACAUCUGUUGAAGCCGACACAUAUGGGCUCAUAGGAGGAGCAUGAGGUGGCGGAGUCCGAUGAGCAGCCGAGUAUCUAUAGCUAUUCGGGGGAACAGUAUCAAAUUCAGGAAAGGGAUUGGAAACCCGAGAACUCAUCCAGUUGCGCCGAGAUGAAUUCAAAGAUGGAUUAAAAGGGGGUACACCGUAACCUGCAAGUUUGAAUGAUAAGGGGUUCUGAACAGACCAAUCUACUGCAAAGAAAGGCGGAGCUAAAGGUGAUAAAUUAGAGGAAGACAAUGAGGAAGAACUUCCAUCACUUCCAUUUGCAUAAGGCACAAAAUCCAUCAUCUCAUUUCCCCUAAAAGUUCAUGAUACUAAAUUCAAUCAAUCGUUCGGAACCCAGAAAAAUUUAUAUCAUCUCUUUAUCUGGGUUAACUCUAAAAGUCCUAAUCGAAUACGAUAAUCGUGCUAAUAAAGAACGCUCAAUAACGGAGUUGAUCAAAUAGAAAGAAAUUAUAUAUAUAUAUAUAUAAAUAUAAAAGAUGUUCUUGAUAAUCGGGCUGGAUAAGAGAGAAUCAUAGAGGAGAAUCUUGAUUGUUAAGCAUACCAGAAGAGUGAUCCACAGUGACUCUACGACCUGCCAACCAACCCAAACAAACUCCUGAGAGAGUCGGUCUUCUCGGAUUUUCAGGUAUGUUUGAUUAUCAGAUGUUGAGAUAAAAGAUACUGGAUUGGGAUUUUUACUUCCAAUUAAAAAAAAAAAAUUAUAUUAUUUGCAAGUAUGCCCUUGUACUUAUGUUAAAUUGCUAGAAAAUGCUCGUGCUUUUUUUUUUUUUUUUAAAAAAAUAUAUUAAAAAUUUCUUAUUGUAUGUAUCUAAAAACUUGCGUAUAAAAUUUGAUCCCUUAGAUUCGGUUUAUUAUAAAAUUGUAAAAUAAAAUUAUUUUUUGAAAUAUUUUGUUUGAAAGAUAAUUCUUAUUUUUCGGAUUGAAUGAACAUGGAUCUUCAAUCAUUACAUUAUAUGGAUUUGAGAAUUCAAUUUUUAGAAGCUAAAUGAUGUUUUUUUUAUAUAUAUAAAAUAUAGUAUUAAAUUUUAUGUAAAUACAAACGAUAAUAUUCUACUCGUUAUUUUUGUAUAUAAGUAAAAUAUUGAAAUAUUAGUAAAAAAUAUAUAUAUUAUGUUGGUGAUAUAUUUGUAUCUUCUUUGAAUUUAUAAUUUUUUAUAAUGGUAUAAUAAUAUUAUUCAAUACGAAUUCAUCGAUGAUAGUGAGUUUAUGAAUAACAUAAAGUAAAUUUAAUUAUAUUAAGAAUUAAUUUAUUUUAUCAAAAAAUAAUUUGACACGUAAGUAAUUUUUUAUUAAAUUUAACAAAUCUUAAAAAAAAAUAAAAAAAUAAGUUAGAGUUAAGUACCAUUCGAAAAUAAUGCAGUCAGCAAUCAUGAUAUGACUGAAAAAUUUCUUCAUAAAAUUCUUAAUUAUCUGUCUCACUUUAUCAAAAUACUUUUUCUUUUUAUAACAGUUAUAUAUUAUUUUAUAUGUCAUUUCAUUUACUUAAUUAUGAAAAUAAACAUAAAUUUCAAUUCAAAUUUAAAAUUUCGAAUUUCAAAUUUCAAAUCAAAAUUUAUAUAAUAUAAAAAUAAUAAUUUAUUAUAAUUAUUAUCUCAUUUUAAAUACUAUUAACGAUAGAAACGAAGUCGAUAAAAAUAUAUUUAUUUUGAAUGAUUCUUUUUUAUUUGUUUAAAUUUUUAAAGUAAAUUUAAUAUAUUUGAUUAUAAUUAAAAAUGUAGAACAAAAAUAUUUCUAAAUUCUUACUUAAAACCAUAAAUCUAACCUUAACCCACUAAAAUUAGAAUUAUAAAUAUAAAAUUGGACAGUAUAUAUAUAUAUUUUUAUUUUGAAGUGAUUUCAUGGAGAAUAAAUUUUAUAAUCUAUUAAUUGCUUAAAAGCCAUAAAUGAAAAGAUAAGAAACAAAACUAUCUCAACCAUAACUACAGAAGAAAGAAAGCUCAUGUUACUUGUAGGGACAUUACACUCAGUACAUGAAAUCUCAAAGGUCCUUUUUUUACACCACAUACUAUUCCAGUCUAUAUACUUAUAACACAAAUUCAAGAAGAACCCAGAUUUCUUUUCUUCUAUUUGUCUAUAAACCAAUGAAAAUAUUGAAAUACCCAGAAAGAGAAAGUCCACCUUCUAACAUAAACAUCAUCCAAGAAAAAAGAGAAAAAGUAGGUGAACGGUGUGGAGGAAGAUGGUAAGUUCGAUAUGUAUCAGAAAUAAACAAUGAAAGAAGAGCGAUCGGAAGGAGGAGGUCGAGAAAAAAUGGGCGGAGAAGAAGCAGCAAAACGAAGAAGAUGAGUUCUGUCCCGGCGUCUUUGAGAUGCUAGAAAUCUUUGCGUAACUCUUGCAAGAGCCGCCGUGUAUUCUUCCAGUAGCUCCGCCAUGACCGUCACCCUUAUCAUACUUUCUUCAGUUGCCUUCGCCGGUUAAUCUUUACUGAGAUGCGGGUGUAUACAUAUAUACACGUACAUGUGUAUGAAUAUGUGUAUGAAUAUGUGUAUGUAUAUGUAUAUGUAAGGGGGAAAUGUUGGUGAGGGGGAUUGCGUGUUGUGGGCGAAGGAAAUGCAGCCAAAUUUAUAAGCAUUCACCAUCUUAAUCUCAUCCAUACACACCUGACUUUUUGGGAAAUAUUCACCCCUCUCAAUUAUUAUUAUUAUUAUUUUUAAUUAUCUUUCUACCA